GGUGAAGAAGAAGUAAGCCAUGUCGGGUCUUCCCCAGGGGCCGUAGACGGUGAAGAAACGGAGUCCGGUGAGGGAGAGGCCGUAAAUGUGGUUGUAGGUGUGGGCGAUUUCCUCGCCGGCCUUCUUGGUGGCGGCGUAGAGGCUGGCGGGCUGGUCGGUGCGGUGGAGCUCGGAGAAAGGGUUUUGGGUGUUGAGGCCGUAGACGGAGCUGGACGAAGCCCAGACAAUGGCGGGUUGGGGGUUGGCGGAUUUGGCAGCCUCGAGAAGGUUGACGAAGCCAGCGAUGUUGGCGGUGACGUAGGAUUGGGGGUUCUGCAUGGCGUAGCGGACGCCGGCCUGUGCGGCCAGGUGGAGGAUGUGGGUGAAGGGGACGAGGUCGAAGAGCUUCUGGAGCAAGGGGGUGUCGUUGAGGUCACCUUCCACGAUGAACACUUGGUGUUUCCAGAGCAUUGCCUGCCGGGCGCGUUAAGGAAAGGGUCGUAGUAGUUGUUGAAGUUGUCAAGCCCCAGGACACCGUCGCCGCGCUUCUUCAGGGCCAGGGAGCAGUGGCUGCCCACGAAGCCCGCAGCCCCAGUGACAAGGACGGUGAGGCCGUUGGGGCGGCGGGGGGAGGCGGAGUGGCGGACCUGCUUCUCCCAGGCGCCGAAGGAGGAGGAGGAGAGGAAGUAGUGGGAGUGGGCGUGGAGGUGGCGGUGGGUGGAGUCGGUGGCGGAGAGGGGAGGGUAGUUGAAGGUGAAGAGGAAGACGAGGAUGAGUGCGACCAAGAGAGUGGCGCGGAAGAGGAGUUUGGAGGAGGCGUUGAGGAGCUUGGUGCUGUUGAGUCUCCGGAUGUAGCUGUUGUAUCGCUCUAGCUUUAUGCUCUUGCUAGUGUCCGGAGGGGAAGAAGAACCCAUAUUCAUAUUCAUUCAAUUAUGAGCUUCUUCCAGCCCUCUCAAAACACUAAUAUAGAGAGAGAUAUUCUCAAUAAUCAUCUCAUGAAUUUCCCCAUGUGCUCUUCACGUGCCAGCUAACCUAUAUGUCAACUCUUUUUGGUCCAUUUCCCUAAAUUAAACCUCCAUGCCAUGCUCUGGUAGCCUAACACCAACACAACUCAACUUUCUCUUUCUUUUUUACUCCCCAUUCUAUUGUUUGUUUUUAGACCACUCUCUUAUGGAGGAUUACCAAUUCCACACAAAUGGAUUCUAUAUUGUAGCUACUAUUUUAACAAAAUUCAAAUCAUCUCAUCAUAUCAUUUCAUUUUUUAUUUAUUUAAACUCAUCCAAAUAGAACUGCAAUUUAUUUUUAUGCUCGUCCUCAUAUGAUUUUGUUCCUAAAAUUCUAUUUAAACUCAGUCAAAAACUUGUCUAACAACAUUCAGUGAUCUAUGAUAAAGUUAUACGUCGAGGAGGAGGACGAGGAUAUUGUACGUCGAUCGAUAAAAUGCUACUAGCUAAUUGACAUGUACGUUAAUUAAUUUAUAGAUUAAUAAGAACUGGGUAUAUAAUUAACUUAGAAGGUAAUUGUCUAAACUGCAAGUAAUUUUACUCAACCCUAACUAUUCAACUAAACCCUAAUGCUAAGGAAUGGAUCAUGCUGACUAGAGUUUUCUUCUGAAUUGACUACUCUAAUUUGUUAAACGCUGUUAGUUGAUAUAUUAUAUAUUUUUAAGGUUCGAAAAAGAGUGGCCAUUAAUUGGGCACCGACAAUGUUAGACUACGUACCGUUUUCAUAUUUGUCAUUAUAGGACUAGUAUUUUAUUAUAUACUGAUCGAGUAGUAUAUGUCAAAAUUUUGUUAGCAUCUUUCAUGUUCAUUUAACAGUUUGCAGUCAUCACGUUAAAUCAAGCUGAUAAUAAAUUGCUGGUUUAUCAUAAUAUUGGCUAUCUAAUCGAUGUUAAUAAGUAUAUAUAGUUGAAAUUUUAGUUAAUUUAUGUUACUAUUAUAUAGUAGUACUACAGUAGUAGUAAUCUUCUGACUCGGAAUUUUAUGUAAAUUAAGGAUCAGAACGGCCUUUGUCGGCUCUUUAAAUAAUCCUUAAUUUCUGAAUGACCCCAAACUUGCACCGAAUCAAAUUUAUACCAAAAAUUUUCUAUCCAUUGCUGCACGCAAAUUUUUGCUUGUACUUGUACAACGCCACCGAAUGGAAGAACUUAAAAAUUUAUAUGAAUCCUUAUCCCACGACUUCCCUUUGAUUCCUCUUUCCGAAAUUCACUCCCUCCAAUAGGCAAUAGCUGGGAAUUGCAAUGGAUUCUGAUUCGAUGCAUCAGGUCGUCAUAAACCAUGUCUAAUAAAUUGGCUAUAUAUGGAGCCCCACUUGUAUUAAAUAUUUUUAUGUGAUUUGAUCAACUUAUACAACAUUUACAUUCUAUUAAAGAUAGAAAAUUACUUAUCGUAAUACGUAUAAUUAAUAAGUGAUGUAAUUAAGUUUACGUAUAAUUAUGUCAGCAAAAAAGUUACGUUUAAUUAAUAUAAUGCAUAUAAUUAUGUACAAUUGUAAUGAUCAUAAUCAUAAUGUUGUAGAAACGGGACAGCUGAUAAUAAGCAGCACAUAUAUUUGGGUCAUUUUAAAAGCAAGCGUUAUACAUUGUUAUCAUUUACAGUUAAAGUCUUUAUUAGAAAUAAUUACAUGAUGGCAGAAGAAAAAUCAAGAAAUUAAGAUUUUAAGAAAAGCUUUUUUUGUUAAAGUAUCGUAGCAUCUCCCGUUGGCCUAGCUAGGUACAUUUUACGCUAUAAGAAUUUAAUUCAUUGUAAUCUAAAAAACCUCACUGUAAAGUGUAAAUCAUAAUUACCAACAAGUUAGAACAGACUACUCAUUCCUCUAUAAAAAAAAAAAAUCCAUUGGUAUUUUAUCGAUCACCACGAAAAGUCUUCGAUAAUUUAAUGAACUUAACUCAUUAUAACCCGAGAGUUGAUACAAUAGAUUUUUACAUACAAAACCUUGAAUAGGUUUUAUUUAUUUUUGUUUCAUGAAUCCUUUGUACCAUUCUCGGGGCGGGAUGGGGCCAAAAAUGUUAAAGUUCCCAAAUUUGGUUGUAUGAGCGAAAGGAAAAGAGAGACGGGGAGAAAAAAAAAAAAUAGCAAAGUGAUAGAUUAUAUGAUAAAAGUAAAGAAUUAACAAAGUGAUGUGGAAUUAAUAUAUAAAACAAAAGUUGGCUGUAUAAAUAACAAUUAAAAAUUUAUUCCCUUUUUAUGAAGUUUUAGACAUGCAUCUUUCGUAAGAAAUUCUGACAGAAAAGAAGAAUUAAAUAAACAUUUAAAUCUUUUACAUCUUAUUUUGAUUUUGGUAUUUUAGAAAAUAUACAGGAUGCCAAUUCAAUAAUAUUCCAACAAUCCUAAAAUAUUAAAUCGUUUAUCUUGAAGUAUAUGUCUUAAAGACUUUUUUUUUUUUUCCAGAACGAGGCCAUAAGUAUUUUUUAACGGAUUCUAUUUUGCUUGAGUUGCCUAAACUCACUGUGAGUAACAUUUUUUUCCAUUAUUUAAUACAACCCCAUAUUUAAGAUUAUUUAAUUAAAGAAAUUUCUUAUUUAGUUAGAAGAAUUAAUCGAUAUGCCAAAUUUUGUGGACUUCUUUUAAAGAAAAAAAAUACUUUGUUUUGAAAGUUGUUGAUUGUAGCUUGAUGGCUUACAAUGACAAUAGUAACAUGUAGAGUAUUAAUGAAUCGAGUUAAAUUGACUUAAAAUUUUAGCUUGACUUGUUAAAUAAAUGAAUGAUUUAAGAUAUAUUGAAUCAUUUAUUUAAAUGAACUUGAUUAAUAAUUUAGGAUUGUCUUGUUUAAAAAACUAAAAUUUGAGUUUGACUUGUUAAGCUCAUUUAAAACUUAAUUAUUUUAAAUUUGUAAAAAAUUCUUAAAUUAUUUUUUUAACUUUUUAAAUGAAUAAUUAUAAGUUUCUAAAAUCAAAUGAAAUUAUUUCAAUCAAAUUAUCGAUAAUUCAACAUACAAAAUCAUUUGAAUCAACUUCAUACCAAUAAUAAUAUCAUUAAAUCUAGAUAUAUUUUAAAAUUAAAAGAAAAACAUAUGUAAUUUUCUUAAAUCUUAAAAGAAAUUUGUGUAGGCUAUAAAAAAAAACAUAUAUAAUUUCUUUAAAUUUUUUUGUGUCUUUAAAUUUUGUUGUGUAAUUUACUCAUUAUAUUUAUAUGCAAGGGAGAUUAGAAGAAAUGAAGAUUUGAGUUGAGUUCAAUGGAAGUUAAUUUCCCAAGCUAAGGAAAAACUUCCACGAUGAGGCAGUAGCAUGAUACUCAAAUAGUACAAACAUUUAUUCUUAUUUCUCUUUUUUUUUUCUUAUCAAAUCGUAUUACUUUAUCAUAUUAUUCCCUCUUAUAUAAGAUUGUGUCUUUCUCUUGUAAAUUGUAAUAUAGACUAGCAUUUGCUAUCCCAAAACAUUAUUCUUAGUUAUUUUUUUGUUGGUGACUAGGACACGUGACAAACAUGGCUCAUAUUAGCAAACUAAUUAAAAUAAUAUUAAAUUGUUAAUAAUUUAGUAGAUUAUAUGGCAUAUUCAGAACAAUGUUAACGAUUAUUUAAAUAUUUGGGAUUCUUGAUGUAGGUUUUCAUAAGUCAAGUGUCGACAUUUAACAAACUUCUUUUGAUAAUAAAGAAUAAAAGUAUUUUAAAAAACUGAGGCAUAAAAUUAAGAAAAAAAUUAAACAAGGAUUAAAACUAAAAUAUUUAUAAUAUUUAAAAUAUAUUAAUUUAAUUAAAAUAAAUAUAUUAUUAAUUUUAUUUAAAAAAAUAUGAAAAACUAAUCAGAACAAAAACAAAAAAAUAAAAAUACAUUAAUAGUAUAAAUAUUUUUAUAAUUUUAUAUAAUUAUAAAUUGUUAUGUACAGUAAAAUUAUUGUUUUCUUAAUAACUAUUUUAAAAAAAAACAUAUUUGAAAUAACUUGUGAUUAAUUGCAACAUAAGAAUUCUUACACUGAAAAAUGAAAACCAAACACAAAAUAAAAGUCUUUGAAAAAAUAUAUUUUUUACUAUGUGAAGUAAUUAAUCAGAUUUUUUUUUUAUUGUAUAUAUAAAAUGGGCACCAUAUUUACACUAAAAAUGUUAUAAAUUACGUUCCAUGGUUAAAAUAAAUAAAAAAUGAUUUAUUUGUAAAUAAUUCUUAAUAAAAAAAUUAAGAAAAUAUUUUAUAAAAAUGUUCUUAUAUAACAUUUAUCCCAUGCUUAAACAUAUUUGUCAAUAUUUUUUUCAUUAAUAAUGUUAUAUAGAUAGAUAUAGAAUAUGAUAUAACACAUCUAAGCACACAUAUUUUUCAUAUCUGUUUAAUUGUUUAAUUUUCUAUUUUUUUGUGUGUAAAAUGUAUAUGCAUAUUUUAAGAUUGAUAUAAAAUUAAUUGUUAGAAUCAAAUAUUAUUAGAUAAAUUUUAAAUUUAUUUGUUUGUUUUUUAAGAAAAUUGAAAAGUAUGUCUAAGUAAUUUAUAAUAAUUACAUAAGUUUUUUUAAAAAAUAUUUUAAUUAUUUUAGAAAAUAAAAAUAAUAUAUUAUGUUUUUUUAAAAUUAUAUCAUGAAAUUAUCCUCACAAAAAAAAAUAUAUAUAUAUAUAUAUAUCAUUGAAAUUAUUUUUUAAAAAUACUACCUUUGGUUCUUCAUAUUUCAUGAUUACAAGGAUUAACAUGACAUCAGCACCACUAACACCCCAUGUGAUCAAAUUGUGUGCAUCAUAUUACUAGUAUCCAUAGCAAUAAUAUCACUGUCCAUUAGCUACUAAAAAGAUCCAAUCACUGGUCUAUUCAAUAAUAAAAGAUCCAAUUUCUCAACUCUUCCACAUUUCGUGGUUUAUAUAUUUUCUCCCCAAUCCAAAUAUAUAUAUAAAAUCAGCGUGCAAUAUUAUAUUGUAAAAAGGAUUAUGGUAUCUCAUUUUUUAAAAAAAGAUUAAUCAUAUUUAAUUAUCUCUUAAUAUGGUUAAUCUAUAACUAGUCUUUUUAGUUUUAAUUUCGUCAUUAUAAUCCUGUUAUUUUCAAAAGAUUGAGUACUUAUUACACAUUCAAAAAUGUUAUUUUUUAUCCAUAACAAAUAAUUUAUAAUAGUUCAACGUACUAUACUCAAUGAAUUAAACUAUAUUCCAUUAACAUUCAAAAAUAUUAUUUCUAACAUGUUAUCUUGGAUUGGUAAAAAAUUAUUGAAAUAUAAAAUUAUAAAUAAAAUUCCUUUAUUUAAUAAGAAGUGAGUCUCACAGAAUUUUAUGAUUUUGGACUAUGUUUUGAAUUGUAAUAAAAAAUGAAUGAAGAGGGAUGAGAAAGAAGGGAAAAUUAUUCCAUUAUUUGGUUUUUUUUUAUAAGUAUUGAUAUUAUUGAAGUUAAGCACAAGUUGUGUCCAACUCAAGAAAUUCAUUAUUUGGUAUGAAAAAUAGGAAUGAGACAUCCAAAGAAGAAUUAUCAUGAUUUAUUCUUAAAAAAAUGACUAUUUUAUCUUUAAUUUUUUUUAUCCUAAUCAUAAAUCUCUUAAGGAUAAUAUGGAAAUUAAAAACUUACAAUUCAUUCUAUUUUGCUCCCUUUUUCAAUAGAAUGAAAUAUUUACACAUCCCAUUAUUCAAUAGAAUGAAAUAUUCUAUUAUAAAAUAUUUAAAAUAGAAAAUGGUAUUUUUUUUCAUUUACAUUCUCCACAUCAAUCCAAAUAUAAUCAAAAUAAAUUUCAGUGAAUAAUAAAAAGUGUAUUAAAAAAUGUGUUAAAAAUGUAUAAUUAGUAUUUAUCCUUUAAAAUUAAAUAAAUUUGGUUCUGCUUUUAAGUAAACAUCUAAAAUUUAAAGAACAUGAUAUACCUACUUAACGAAGAUGACGUGGUGUUGUCCCAGGUAGUUUUUAAUUAGUGACAUUGUAAACAUCUUAUUAAUUUCAAAAUUAACCCUUCAAACAAUCCAAUUAUAUACCCCCAUGCCUCCAUUUGAUGCAUCUAGAUCCUUCAUCUACCAUUAACGCUUAUAGUCACCUAAACAACAGCACCUGAAAUAAAUCCAUAAGACAGGAAAACAAAGUGUAUAGUUAACUAUUGUGCAUUAUCAUUAGAACAUGUUUAAUGUCAUGACUCACUUUUAUAAAUUUUCUUCUCAAAUUUGUUCUCGUGUGAAAUUUAUCUAGAAAAAAAAAAAGCUAUCACUUUGGAAAGCAUUUUUGCCUAAAUCCUUCUUAAGAAAAGAGUUAACCAUUAUUGAACAUUUCUCUUUUGACGACAAAUAAAUAAAUCAGUCGUGUUAAGUUAUUUUAAUAUAAUAAUAAUAAAUAAAAAAAACUCACAAACAGAGACCAAUUUGUUAAUUUACAGCCACUGUUUUUGUGGUGGCUAAAUUUUGUGACAUUAUUUUGGAAUUGGAUUCAAUAUAUGACUUUCUCACGUGAAAGAACUUUUCCAAUUUUAAGACCAUUCGAAUAUUCUUAUGGUACAUAUACUGUCACUUGUUUAAAAAAAUAUAUUUAAUGUAAUUAUUAAUUUUUUUAUUCUUUAAACCCAUAAAAAUACUAUUGAUUCCAUAAAUUAACUAAUACAUAAUUAUUUUAGUUUAACCAAUGAUUUCGAGUGUUGUUCAAAUUAUAAAAAAAACUCUAGCAAUAUAAUUCAUCGGAAUUUUUUUUUUAGCAGUUUAAGAAUUGUCACAAUUUUUUUUAUAAUUUUUUGAAUACACAUUAUCAACAUCUUUUAUCGAAGACAAUUAUGAUUGAGUUAGAUAAGAUUAUCAUAAAUGGUAAAAUUAUUUCUAGAAACUAUUGAUUAAAAUGAAAUAAAUCUCUAACAGUUAAUCUACAUGUUUAAUAAUAUUUUUUAUGGUUUUAAAGUAUAAAAAAUUAUAAAAACUAAACUAUUAAAUUAAAAAUAUCUUUGAAAACAAGUGGUAAAAUCUAGACAAUUAGAUUAAUCCAAUGAUCUAAAAUGAAUAAAAGUCUCAAUGACUUUCUCUCCAUAAAGUCACCAAAUCCAAAUCACAUUAUUUUGUAAUUUCACACAAUUUGAUUGCUAUUUCAACCACUAGAGAUUCUGCAAAAUUCCAAUUACUAAAAUCAGCUAUUUUUUAGUAGUGCAUAGAGAAAGGAAAAUGUUCCCCAUAAAUAGUAUGUUAAAUACUAUGCAUCUAAAUGACUUUCAAUUAGAAAAAUCAUAAUCCUUAUUUCAAAAUCUUAAUUAAAAACAAUUGAUUUUAGUACAUUGCCAUUUUUUUUUUGGUUGGUGAUGAUAAUAUCUCUCAAACCAUUGAAUUAAAUAUUAAUGUUACUUGUAAUGUGCAAUGUAUGAUUGUCAUUAAUUCGAAAAAAAAUUACACAUGAAAAAAAAUCAAAUACAAAUUUUUUCACUAAAUAAAUUAUUCCUUCACAUACAAAACAACAAAAUUUUACACUAGUGUGUCAAUCUUAUGGAUUAGUAACAUAUCAUUUGAAUCAACAUAAAGAACUUUUGUUGUUGUCUUUAAUUUUUAGUCACAACUUCCAUUAAUUUAGGGCAAUAUAGUAGAGUAGAGACUGAGGUAGUUUGUUGCAAAACAAGUAGCAUGUUAAAUGCAACUAUAUUCAAGUUAAAUAAAUUAGAUCGUGCUGCAUCUAAAUGACUUUCAAAUUGAAAAAUUACCCAAAAAAAAUCAAAAUUUUCUCUUUAAUUCAAGUGACUAGUCUUUUGAACCAACACCAUUAUAAUUUAAUUAUAAGAACUUUUUAUGCCCUAUUUUUAUAUUUACUUAACAUUUUCCUUUUAAAUUUUUUAUUGCCAUAACUUCAUAGUUCUGAUAGUUUUUACGACAAUACAACAUGGAAUUAUAGAAAGGAGGCAACUUAUUCCCCGCCAAGAAGCAUGUUAAAUACAACUCUAUUCAAAUUAAUCAAUAAAAAUUAGAUUGUGCUGCACCUAAACGAUUUUUAAAUAAAAAAUCACGAUGUAUUUGAAAGAAAAUCUUAAAAACAGUUUUCUCUCUUAUUUUAGUUGCUUACCAACCUCGUUUGAUGAACUCCGAGCAAAAAAGAUUGGAUUUGGAUGAGAAUUAUUAACGUACAAAAGUGGAAGAGGAGUGGGGGCCUUAUUGAUUGAUGGACCCAACACAAGAAAGAAAGGAAAGGCACGCGAAGGUUCAUAAGUCAUGGCCAAUGGAUUCCUUUCAAAUGGAGCAUUGUGGCUAGGUACGUCACUUCUGUGAUCUGUCCUUUCUUUAUUCCUUGAGAAGUAUACUCUCUAUCACAUGGGAAUUAAUUACCAGUACAUAUUAAUUGCGUUAAUUUGAUCUUCUGCAAAAUGUUUGGGCUUAUGAUGGAAAAUAUAUUUAGUUUUCUUCGAUCGAACAAGAUCAUAAAACUUUAUUUAUUACGAAACACAUGUUCAUGUAUGGAAAAAAAGGAAAACAGCUAGGUGGAAAGAAUUAGGAAGAAACAUUACGUUUUUCAUUGUUUAGAUGUGGAGGGAAAAAAAGUGAGACCAAAAAAAUUGUCUACAGUGGAGAGAAAACAACUAAUUUUUUGUUGAAAUAAUAAAUUUAUUCAUCAAUCCAUCUUAAAUUUUUUGGGUGAAACCCUUUCUCCAAACUUUAUAUCUUAAUUAAUUUGAAUCGAGUCGCAUCAAUUCAAUUUAUUUAAGGAGAUAAAAUCUUUUUCAAUGUCUAUUUUAUUUGUACAUAAGAAUCAAAACUGGAGGAAUGUCUAUUCUAGCGGGUCAUAUCAGAGCUGAGAAACUUACCAAGUUUAUAUUAUACAGUGAAUGGUUAAUUUAUUCUACCUGGUGGGUGGGAGACAAUAUAUCCAAUUUGAUGCAAUCGGUUGGGGCUAGCAAAAAAUAUUUCAUAUGAAUAAACACCUUUCAUAUUAGUUUAGUCCUUUUUGUGCUUCUUUUUAUUUUGUCAAGUCAUCACCUAUCUCGAGACUGCAUGGUCCUGCAUGUUCAAUUCUUAUUCUACCAGUAGAUUGAGCAUGGAAACUUCCCCAAGAAUUAUGUGGGAUAAUUAUAAUUUUCUUAAGCUAUGCAUUAAAUAAACUCUGUAGUUUACUUAUUUGCUUGUAAGGAAUAAGGUUGCUCACACUGAUACCACAACAAAGUCUUAUCUUAUCCCAUUUAGCUAGGAUUGCUCACACUGAUAGUAACUAUAAGUGUUUUAAAACUUUAGAUACUUUCUACGAUUCUUGAUACCGGUUGUUACAAGCAAUAUUGGAAUUUUAUUUUUAAAGAAAAAUAGAAUUUUGUUAUUGAACUGGACAAAAUGUUUCAUUGAUUGAAACAGAAUUAUAGAAAAGUUAAUUACAGCAUAAAGUGAUUAGCUAUUUAUAGAUGCACCGUGAUAACUGAAAUCUAACAAAUUAUAACUAAUUACACACAAUCCUAACAACACAAAAUCCUAAUUAAAAAAUCUCUUAAGUUAGCCUUGAGUCACACUGCUAUUUGCUCUCAUUCUUACUUCUUUAACUAAUAUUUGAUGACUUAGAUUAGUUAGUUUCAUGUAGGCUUUUUUUUUUGUUUUUUUUAUAAUUUUAGUUUAAAAUCUAUAAAUAUGAAUUUGUGGAAUUUUUAAAUAUUUGUUUAAUGUAGUGUUUUUAUUUUUAUUUUUUCAGCAUCUCUUUGUGUAUAUAUGCUAUAAGAAAUAAUAUAAUCCAUCCUGUCAAAAAUAAGGUACUUGGUCCUUUAAAUUUUUCUGAAAAAUCAUUAUUUAAUUUAGGAUUUUGUCAUAGAAAUUAUAAUAACUCUAUAUAAAAAAUUAUAAUAAGUUAUAUUUUGUAUGAAAUUGUCUUCAUAAUUUUUAUUUUGUUACACUCUUGUAAUUAAUAUUAAAAUUUAUUUAUAAAAUUAAUAUUUAAAUGAUAGAUUAAAUAUAAAUAAUUUGUGAACCUCUUAUUUUGAUUUAAUCUAUCAUUUAAAUAUUUAUUUAAUAAAUAAAUUUUACGAUUAAUAUUAAUUACAAUGCUAACAUAAAUUAUUUUUAAUUAUUUUUAUUUUUUUCUAAUGGGAUAUCAUUCAUGAAAAAUAUCAAUAAUUAAAAAUAAUAUUUAAUUCAAAGACGGUGCUUAUAUCAACACCGUCUUAAAAUCCUUACCUUCAAAGAUGAUGUUCACGACGUCGGCUUUUAUGACGGUUAGCGAUCGUUUUAGAAAAGUCUUUUUUCUAAUAGUGAAUAAGUCAAGUUUCUUAUUACUUUGAGCUAUUAGUAUUAUAUUAAAAGAAUAAAAAAAGUAUUUAUCAUAAUUAUAUUUUGUUUUCUCUUUCUUUUUCACAAUCAGAUCAGAAGAAAGAGGAUUGAUUAUUUUUUUUUGUCAUUUUUAUCCAAAUUAAUAAAUGAAAUAAUACAAGCAAAAAUGAUCAUAUUUCCUUUUUUUUUCUAUAUCUUAUUUCUUUCAUUUUUCAAUUCCCUAAUUUUUUUAUUCACACCCGAACAAAAUGAUAGGGUGCAUUUAGAAUAGUUUGUUUUAUAUUUUAAAAAAAUAUAACUAAGAUAUCAUUAAAACUAUUAAAAAAUAUUAUCCUAAUUAAAAUAGACAGAAUCCAAACAAGAUUAGGCUUUAAUUUCCGUGAGUUGCAACUAUAUAUUUGCAAACAAGUAAAAUAACGCAAUAUCACCUUGCUGUACGUCUUAAGAUAAAAAUGACUUAAAAUUUAUUUAAGUUACACUAUAUUCUUCUCAUUGCUAUGGGAUAAAUUUCCAACCAGCAGGCUUCUAUAAAGUGUAGAAUAUGUUAUUUCAUUAAUUAAUCAACGCGUUUCUUUCAAUCUCUCCCUCUCCUCUCCUCCAUCUCAAGAAAUAAGACAUGCAAUUAAUGUGAAAGUAGCAUCCAGUAAAAAAUAAUCAUUUCCAUCUGUUAAUUAAUAUAUAGAAUGAGACAUGUGCAUGCAAUGGGCUAUGAAAGAAAAAGAGUAUGUUUAUUAAUGUUUUUAAGCAAAGUUGAACUUGCGGUGGUUAAUUUCAGUCACCACAAAGUAAAGUGAGAAAUGGCACGGACAUUGAUCAAUUAAUUAAUAGAGUCGAGGAGGACUAGAUAGGUUAACUUCUUGACUUUUUUUAAGUGAGAAAUACAUAUUAAUUUAAUGCAUUAUAAUAUAUAUAUAUAUAUAUAUAUAUAUAUAUAUAUAUAUAUAUAUAUAUAUAUAUAUAUAUAUAUAUAUAUAUAUAUAUAUAUAUAUAUGUGUGUAGAAAUGCUAUUCGCGGUGCUUUUAUGAAAAGCCAAGAUUGAAGAAGAUGCUAGCUCAUUGGUCGGUGGAGCCGUGUGUCUUGACUUUAUUAACCAUUAGAUAAGACAGAAGAAGACAUGAUUCUCCUCACUGCUUCCCCUCAAUAGUUAUGAUCCACACACACAACUAGAAUUCCAUAUAACAUGCAUUUUUAUUUAUUAAUUUAUCAUAUAUAAUUUUGGCCCUUGGGCAUCCUAUGGGGUUUCAUUAGUCCCAACGAGGUUCCAUACGCUUUGCCCUCUCCAUAUGAUUAGAGCAUGCAUGCAUGUUCAAUUUUCUGGUACAGACAAUUUUUUUCAGGGUAAAACUACAUAAUUCGACACGUUAGAUGUUUUGCUUUUGGAUUAGGAUUAACUUUAACAACGUUCACUGGGACAUUUCUGCCGUAACGUAUGUUUGGACAAAAUGAGUUCUCUUUAGUCAGAAAAAAAGAAAAAGAAAAUAUCUCAACUUAGCUACAGCGCAUAAUUAAUAAAAUUUGUUCAGUUUGGUUAAAAAAAGAAAGUGACAAAUAUUAUUGUUUCGAAUGAAUUAAUGGAUGACUUCUGAGCUUGAAAAGUGUUUCAUUAAUUGCAAUGAAAAGAAAUGAUCCAGACAUUAUCGUUUGUGCUCUUGGGCAGGAAUCUGAAUUGAAGAAAAAGAAGAGUACAAAAGCGACUAUAUUUGUUGUAAAUUAAAAUAAUUUAUAUAUAUAAUAUCCAAGUAAAUACGUGCAAAAAAAGUUGAAAAUGUAAUCGUAGCUGCCUUUUGAUCUGUUAAUCGUGUAUUUUAAUGUUAUUCUUUAUAUAGCUGGCGUGAUUAUAUUCCCGUUGAUAUCUCUUUUGCUUGCAUGAUUGGGGAGAUUCGUGUUUGAUAAUUGGUUCUUUUUACUUUUUGGUCAAUAAUAAUAUUGAAAAUCACGUAACUAGCAUGAUAUGAGAGAGCCAAUUGCCACCGUCUUAAGAAACUAUCGAUCGAAUUGUCGUUUUCCAUGUUGUUAAUCCAUCCUACUUUGCACUCCUGACAACAACUAUGCCUCUAUAUAUCGAUAACUUUCUACUGUCGGCACCAUAACUGACAUUCAUUCUCUCUCUCUAUAUUAAUUAUUAUAAGAUAUUGAAAUAUCUGCUUAUGUAAUGAGUCUCUUUUUACAUUGCUUGCCCACGUAAAACCCUUUAAAAAUCGAUGCAUAUAUAUAUAUGCUUGUUAGCUGUAAUUAUUAACAGGUACCUCUCAAUCUGAAAGCAGGCUAGCUAGGGUUGUUGUUAAUUAACACCACCUGUUACAGUAACGGGAGCUCUUGAAAUUGAUCAAUGAGGUUCACUCACCAAUGGGGGUGCUGGGGACAAUUGGGGCCAUCACCUUCAAUUAUCAAUGAAAGUUAACAUUGGAAUGAGAAGGGAGCAAAUUGAAGAUCAUAAAGUCGUACGUAAAAUAUAUCAACCGCAAAGUUUACAAUUGAAGCUUGCAGGUUAUAUAUAUAGGCUAGAAACAAUUAAUAUUUUAUCGAGGAAAAUAUUUCUUUGCCUGUGUUCAACCAGCAGAAUCUGUGUAAUUUUAUUUAAUUGGAAUAUUCGGACAAUGUAAUUUUAUUCUACAAUAUAAUUCAAUCACACAUUAAUAUAUCUGAAGUUUAUUAACUUUUAUAAUAAUUAUUUUUAAAAUAAUAAUGUAAAUAAUUUAUGAUUAAUUAAUUAUGUGAAAAACAUUAUAACACCAAUGCAUAAAAAUUAAACCCGUAGUUAAUUUCACCAAAAUAGAAAUAUUUGUUAAAAACUAUUUUAUUAACUUUUAACAUUUUUUUAAAAAUGGCACUUCAUAUAAUUUCUUUUUAAGAUCAUAUGUAUGUUUUUAUGGCAAGAAAUAAUACUCAUAAGAUUAUUAUUAGCAAAACACUCCCUCUAAUUAUUUAAAUUCUUUUAUGUAAAAUUCAUUUCGUUUAAUAGAAAUAUUUAAAAAUAAAAAUAACAUUAUAAAAUAGUUUUUUUUAACAUGAUGAUAAAUUACUUAAAAUAAAUUAAAAUAUAAACAAGUUAUUAAAAUGCAAAUAUAAUUAUCAAAUUUCAGGUUAUGACCACAGAUAUAUCCUUUUAUAUAAUUUCAUACUUAUCAACUAAUUCAGCAAUUAAUUUUGAAAUAGCAUUUGUGGAUACCUAUAUGUUCAUCAACACCUAGAGAACAAGAAAUAAGAGAAAAAUAGUAGAUAUAAUAAAUGAUAUAAUAUAAUAACAGAACAAAGAUUAAGAAAUGUCAUAUAUAUAUAUAUAUAUAUAUAUAUAUAUAUAUGAGGAUUUUACAAAAAUUACACCCAUUCUUAACCGUUGAUUUCAUUCUAAUUUAAGGCCAAUCCCCAUUCUAAUUUUAAUCAAAGCUCUCCAGUAGAACUUCCCUGUAAUUCCAAUUUUGCUUUGCAACCUCGUUACCCACUCAUUGCCUUUCCCAAUAUCUCUCUAAUAUAGCAGAAUUUUACACAGGAUGUACACAGGCUUAUGAUAAACGCUUUGCUUCAUCCAACUCAGACUAAAAUCCAUUUAAUGCACCAUAAGCUUAACAAAGCCUAACUCCCAAGAUUUAUAACUAAAAAUCUGAAACUGGAUACAUUCAAAUCAGAUCUUGCACCCUCUUCUCAAUUUUAUGGUCGGAACGAGAGAAAUUGUAUGGUUGGGAUCUUUGCAGGCGGAAUGAAUGGCUGGAACGAUAAAAAUUGGCAAACAAAGAGGUGUGCAAAAGAGGCCUGAGAUUAAAGGAAAACUGGAAAAGGGAGAACUGGUCAACAAGUCUGCAACGUGCACAAAAUUGAAAUUAGAGGAAGAGUGAUGAUUAAAAUUAGAAUUGGGGGGUCAAGUGAGAGAGAGUUUAAUAAUUUUAUUAUUAGCGUUAGAUUAGAACGAUAUCUACGGUUAAAGAUAAAUGUAACUUUUGGAGAUAUAUUCAUGUAUCAUUACUCUUAAAUUUUUCAAACACUUUUAAUUGAAUUAACUUGUUAACUUUCAAGUUUCAACUAGUUUAUUCCAAAAAAUUUAUUUUAUACACCUCAAAUUCUACGCCCAAUAGACAUCAUGUCCAUCGUUUUUUAAUCACAUCAGCCAUUUUAUCUAUUCCUUUCUAUUUUCUUAUCAUACUCCCAAAAGGGGAUUUUCACUCUCCUAUGGGUGUCCAAGCAGCAAAAAUAAAAUGUUACAACAGAUUUUUUAUUUUUACAGAUUACAACAGAUAAUUAGUACAUGACAAAUGAUUAAUAUUUAAAUAGAAAUGAAAUUCAAUACACACUAAAGAUGUAGUCAUUCUUGCGGUACAGCAUCAACUUGGCCACUUCUGUCAGUGACUUUCUGGGCGUCCGGGAGAUCUUUAAUCGCCUGCAAAAGAAUGAACCAAUUCCUUGAAUCAAGUGUCAAUAAAAUGGAAGAGACGACUGAGGACGUUAAUAGUUUGAAAUCAAGAUAAGGCUAACAAUUAUCGUAUGGUGUGGGUAUUUACUAUUUAGUCAAAUACGAAAAGAAAAUAAGAGGUAAAAUUUUAAAAUCAAAUUAUGCACCUUAAUAUUCGAAGCUUUUAAAAAAUUGAGGUAUAUAAGUUGAUUUUAUAUUAUGAGAAAACUUUAACUUAUUUUAUCUUCUAAUAGUUGUUGAAAAGUUUGUCUACACUAAGAUUUAGUAUUUACCUGAUAAAGACACCAAGAAGCAAAAGCAUCUGUUGCAGCAUACUCUAGUUGCUCCUUUGACAAAACAGGAGCCUCCCAAUUUCCCAGUCUUAUUUUGUUGGGCUUUUUAAGCUGCAAGCAUAACAAACUUGGUAAAUAUCCUACCAAGAUAGUUCUUCACCUUUUUUUAAGAAGGCGGUUGAAACAUCUCCCUGUCCCCUUCACAUUUUCCCCUUCUCUCCAGGGACAAGAAAUAAAAAAGGUUAUGAAAAGACGUUGAUGAUCAAGUAGUCAUAGAAAAUUACAUACCGAUUAUUUCUACGUUGUGUUUGUAGGAAUACAGAUGAUCUAGUGAGGAUAAAAUGAACGACAGGAAAAAAACAGUUUAUUACUUAUGGCAUCUACUUUUGUCAUUUUCUAUUUCCUACAUUUAAAUAACUUCUGUUGGUUUAACAGGACCUUUCUCUUUCUCCCUUCGAACAUCUUACAACAGUACAACUAACUCCUAUUGAAAAGGAAAAUAAUUAAUGGUUUAUUCAGAGUUGAUUUUUGGCAUAAGUGCAUAAUGCACGUGGUGAAUUUUCCAUUAUUGUUUUCUUGAAAAAAAAUUCUUAUUCAACUACUACUAGUCAGUAAUUAAAGCUAUUUAUGGAAAAAAAUACAACAUUUGUAAUUGGAUACUAAUUUAGGAAUGCAACAAAAAAUGUGUAUGUGAAAUCGAAUAAUGCAUUGAUUUAGUGAGAGCAGAGGACGAGCCAUUUUCCUUUAGGCAAAUUCAACACCCAACAAAGAUCCAUUUUUCAGAAUCUACCAUAUGAAAAUUUGAGAAAGGGUGAGGUGGUGAGCAGGUCUGGCUCAUUCAACUGGCAACAGUUUUCCAGUUAACCAGCCAGUUGGAAAGGCACCAGACUUUUUGAUGUGCCAUGCCAUCAGGUGUCAGAUGAAGAAGGCUGGAACAGUUGAAUCACGGUGUCCAUGUCUGGUCUGGGUUAUAAGACAGUUGGAUUCAAAACAUACCUGUUUUGAUAGAAGUUUUUCAGUCAAAGAUGCAAGACCCCACUUAUGAUCUCCACCAAGCUUUUGAUUAGCAUGAAAAGAAAGAUCCGUCACACCUUUAACAGAUAUGUUAUAAUCUCUAAAAACCUUCACAGCAUCACCAUCAAUCCCAGCUCCAACCUUGUGCACAUCAAACGUUGUAUUAACACUUAAGAUAAUUGAUUAGUUCACAUAGACACAAAAGAAAAAACAAGAAAAAAAAAUCAGCUUAACAGAAAUAAAAACCUUCAAGACUGUGGGAUCUUCAAGCAAAAGCUGUAAAUUUUGAGGGAUUCCAGAAUGAAUUAGAUGUAGAACAUGACAAUGUCUAGUGUCACCACAUAUCUGCAUCACUGCUACCUUUCCGGGAGGAACACCUAUAAAAGUUUUAUACAAUAAUGAUUCAGUAAUAUAAAUUAUGACAAUCUUUCUUUUUCUUAAGAAUUAGUGUUUUAUAGGGGCAAAAGGGAAGGCUCUUUUGCUGCAGAAAAGUAGGAAAUUGAUCUCUCACCAUAGGUGAACAAAGCAUUUACAGAAAAUCCAUAAACUAUGAAGAGUAAAGAGCCAAACAAUUAGCUGGAAUUAGAACUUUAAUCCCCCGGCCUCAAAUACUCAAAACCAUGUCUUUACCUUCAUCCACAUUGUAAUUUGCAACACAAAAUAGAGAGGCUCUGCGUCCCAGGAAUUUUGAAAUUCUUCAUCAAGACAGUCCACCUGAUUCUAGACUUGAAGCAUUCUAUUCUAUAUAAAAACUUCGUACCCCAUGCCCAGAGGCUCUUCGCUAUGCGAAGGUAUGGGGGAGGGAUAUUGUACGCAGCCUUACCCUUGCAUAUGCAAAGAGGCUGUUUCCGGAUUCGAACCCAUGACCAACGAGUCACCAAGACACAACUUUACCGCUGUACCAGGGCUCGCCUGGCAUAAUUUCUUGCUUACGUAACCAAUAUCGGAAAGAAAAUACUCAACAAUAUAAAGAGUGUGUUUGGUUUGUAUUUUCAUUUUCUGUUUUCAUUUUUUGAAAACUGUUUUCAUUUUCAAAAAAUUAGAAUUCUGAAAACAUGUUUGAUUUAACUUCUUGUUUUCUGUUUUCAAGAAAUAAAAACACUGAAAAUGCAUUUUCAAAAGGAAAUGUAUUUUUAAAUUUGCUUAAAAUUACAUUCCUUGCCAUUGCGUUUUCAUUUGAUCGAAAAUGAGGUUCCUGGUUUCAACUGAAAAUAAGAUAUUAUUGUUUUCAAUUUUUUAUUUGUUUGGAAAAAUAUUUUCACUGGAAAUAAAAACAAAAAUUCAACCAAAUGCAUUUUCAUCACCAUUUUCUAUUUCUAGUGAAAAUAAAAACAGAAAACAAACCAAACCAAUCAGCCCUGAUCACUUUCUCUUCCAUCUCAUUUCCACCCCCAUUUUCUUCCUACCUCUCUCCUCCUUUUCCAUUUCAUCACUAAUCACAUCUAUCACUUUAUCUUCCUACCUUUUCUUCUUCUUAUCUUUCUCCUUUCCACCCCAAUUUGCCUCAAAAUGGGGUGGGCAUUUAUCAUUACUCUAUCAAAUACGUAUCAAUAUUGUUACCGUAUAACCUAAAUGCAGAAAUUGUAAUAGGCCAAACACUAUCAGGUAAGUGGUAUGCCAUAAUCAGCUAUUGAAAAAGAAGGAGAAGAAGCUGAACUGACCUUUUCUGAAGGUGGGUUUCCACUCAAUGUCAAAUCCAAUUGCAGUUUGCAUCAUGUCGGUCGUUUUUUCUUGGAGAAUUUGUAAGAGCUUUGUUGCAGCUUUCUCUACAGCAUCAAAAGUCCUGCUAUAAGAAAUUUGACCACUAAACUUCAUUACAGGCAAUGUCAUUCUUGAAUCGCCUGUGCAAGAUGAAAAAUGAAAAAUUAGAGGAAAUGUAUAGUGAAUAGCAGAAUUGAGUGAUUAUUAGUGCAUUGGAAAGGGUAAAAUAGAAUGGGGGUGAGGAAAAAGAAGAGAACAUGGACGGGGAUGGGGCGAGAAAGAAGAAGCGUUUGGGUGUUGAAGAGCGAUAAGCGAUUUGGGCAAGCGACGACGAGGAGUGUGAGUGUGAUCGUUGAAUGGACGUUUUUUGUUAUUGGAAAGAGAGGCUUCGAUGGCUUCCAGAUCAUCCUCCGUCAAAGGCUCGCAAUCGCAGACGAAUGAGGCAAGUCGCGUAAAACCACCCUCCUCCUCCUUCUCCAUCUUCGGAAUGGAGGGAAAUAAAGGAAAGGACCCACUUUUUUAUAUAAUUGUUGAGGUGGAAAAGCAAGCCUGGCUAGUCCAUUUUGGCCUAUCUCCCUACUUGAUUUGAACCUAAAUUUUUCUUAGUACCAAAGGAAUUGAGUUUAUAAAAUAAGCUAACAAUAAUAAUAUAUAUGUAUUUAUAUUUUUGGAAAACAAUAAAAACUUUUAAAAUAUACAUAGUAGCAAACUUAAGCUUAAACACCUAAUAGCAUUCACAUAAAUUUUUUAAAAAAAUCAUAGUGGCCCGCACAAAAGCAAACCCAUCCCACCUUUCCAAGUUGAACUACCUAACUUGUCCCAUCAUUUUUGAGUUAGCCCAUCAAACUAAACCAAUUAUGUCAUUCCUAGACAUGGACAUAUACCUUAACCUACACCAAAUUCAGACCAAGCUUUUAGAAAUUAAACCAUGUCAAUAUUUCUAUAAGAAAUUACUUAAUUAAAAAAAGACUAGAUUUAAUACAAAUAAUAACUUUCUAGUAUUAUUAUGGGUGUCAUCCUAAAAGUCUCCAUUACCAUAUUCACCUCCUCAUUUCCUAAGUUGAAGUCCUUCGCCUUUUGUCCAUAACUAACUACCUUUAGCUUGUGAUGAGUGACAUUGUGCAUGUUUGAUUCUCUAUCUAACAUGCUUCUGCACGAAUUCCAAAACAAAUAUGACUGUUCAACGCACAAAGGAAUGGUAUGGAUGCUUUUGCCAAUGUCCAUUUGCAUCAACAAGUGGUUACACAAACAUAGUCAUUGAUGAUUGCACUGGUUGAGGAACAAGAGUGAGAGUUGCCUUGGGAAAGGUGAAGGGUGUUUUCGGAAAGAAAAAAAACAAAAAAGGCAGAAGGUGGUAGUCCUAGCAAUUUGAGAGGUGUGUUUGUGUUUGGUGAAGAGGCCCAUCUGAGCCCAAAAGUGAUAAAUUGUUUAUAGUGAGUUGAGUUGAGUUAUUGGUAAUCAAAAGUAAAAAAAAAAGAGCGGGCGUGGACGAGAAUUGAGAGCAGAGUAUGAGGGAGUGAGAGUGAAGAAGAUGAGUACUGUUGAUAAAAUGUUGAUCAAGGGCAUCCGGAGCUUCGACCCGGAGAACAAGAACGUCAUCACCUUCUUCAAGCCCUUAACCCUAAUCGUUGGCCCCAAUGGUGCUGGCAAGACAGUAAGCAUUCAUUCAUUUCAUUUCAUUUCAUUUUCUCUAUCAAUCAUCCCUGUACUUACUUGUGCACAGACCAUCAUUGAGUGCUUGAAGCUUUCCUGCACCGGCGAGUUGCCACCUAACGCUAGGUCUGGCCACAGCUUCAUCCACGACCCAAAGGUUGCGGGGGAAACCGAAACAAAGGGUCAGAUUAAGCUCCGUUUCAAAACGGCCGCCGGUAAAGACGUGGUCUGCGUAAGGUCCUUUCAGCUCACACAGAAGGCCUCCAAGAUGGAAUACAAGGCUAUCGAAAGUGUGCUUCAAACUAUUAAUCCUCACACUGGCGAGAAAGUUUGCCUCAGCUAUCGAUGCGCUGACAUGGAUAAAGAGAUUCCUGCCCUCAUGGGCGUCUCCAAGGCCAUUCUCGAAAAUGUUAUAUUCGUUCAUCAAGAUGAAGCCAACUGGCCUCUCCAGGAUCCUUCUACCUUAAAGAAAAAGUUCGACGAUAUCUUUUCCGCUACCAGGUAGCUUCAUUUCUUCAUCCCCUGCCCUUGUUACUUUUUACUCACUCAAUACAUGCUUUUAGAUACACCAAGGCACUCGAAGUUAUAAAGAAACUUCACAAGGAGCAGGCUCAAGAGAUUAAGACUUACAAGCUCAAACUGGAAAAUCUUCAGACUCUCAAAGAUGCUGCUUACAAGGUAGCUACCUCUACCUCGCUUUCCUCUUCCCUAUAAAUCAUUAAAAAAACAAUAUCUAAUUAUUUCAUUUUGUUUUCUUAUUAUAGCUUCGGGAAAGCAUUGCACAGGAUCAAGAGAAAACAGAGUCUGCAGAAUGUCAACUGCAACAGUUGGAUGGCAGCAUUCAAGAAUUGGAUCAUAAAAUUCAUCACACGGAGGAAACAUUGAAAUAUUUGCGGAAGCUGCAGGAGCAGAUAUCAACUAAAACUGCUCAACGAAGCAUCCUGUUUAAGGAACAACAGAAACAAUAUCUAGCUCUCACUGAGGAGAUUGAAGGUGUGUAAGUGUUGAACAUGGUAUACGUUUUACCAGUUUUAAAUUCUUUAUCUCUUUCUAUAUUGUUAAUAGUUUCAAUCCUAAUGGAUUUACACAGAUAUGCCCCGUUUAAUAUAUAUGUAAGUUUCUAAUGCUUUUUUCUGCAUAUUAUAUUUGAUUAGACACCGAUGAAGAGUUGAUGGAAUGGAAGACCAAGUUUGAAGAAAGGAUUGCAAGUUUAGAAACAAAAAUAAGCAGGUUGGAAAGAGAAACGGAGGACAUUGACUGUACAAGUUCUACCCUUAAGGAGACCAUUGCUGAAUCCAUCGAAGUGAUUGCCAAGCUACAAGCUGAAGCAGAAGUAAAUGAAUUGAUACACAAGCUGCCUAUACUGACAUCUAGUAUUGCAGGACAUUGUUGUAAUUUUCUCUCUAAUUUGAACUGCAGGCUCACAUGUCAUUCAAGAAUGAACGUGAUUCCUCCAUUCACAAUCUUUUCACUACAUAUAACUUGGGAUCUCUUCCAAAGUCACCUUUCAGUGCUGAGGUUGCUUUAAACCUCACUAAUCGUGUAAAAUCAAGGUUGGAAGAUCUUGAGAAGGACCUGGAUGAUAAAAAGGUGAUUUUUCUGUUCUCUCUUUCUGGUUUAUGUGUGAGUAUGUUUACUUUUAGGUGCCUGUGCUAGGAGGCAAAUUGAGAAGUUGAAGAAUUUUCAAGGGUGAUUUCUCGCUGUUACUUAAUAUUUGGGAUAAAGGAUCUUCUUGUUUUCUUCGUGGUAUUCAAUUGGCAGUAUAGUAGAGGGUUUCUUUGCUGGAUAUAUCAAGAGAUUUGUAUGCUUUGCUCACUUGAUUUUUCCUUUAGCAAGGAUGUUGUUUGUAUGCUCCUGUACUUCUUUCUUUCUGACAUCCACUCUAUACUGUAGUGAAUUUUUUUUCUUAUUUAAAGAAUGUGCUUGUCUAAAUUUUUCAAAAUUUUAAAUUAUUUUCACCAUAUCAAAAAUAAGAAAACAACUUGAUUAUUAACUCUUUUUUUUGCUUCUUAUGUGCAGAAGGCAAAUGACAAUGAAAUCAAGAUGGCAUUUGAUUGCUACAUGAAUGCAAAUGACCGUUUGAAACAUACUGAGGCUAAAAUAAAGGCUAUGACAGGGAGCAAGGUUUGGUGUUUCAUUUCAAUGCACAAAUUUCUUGUCUAUUUAUCUUGUACGAUGUUAGUACCUUGUUAUGUAUGCAGAGUGGCAUUUCGAAGCGUAUUGAAGAGAAGAAAAAUGAGCUUGAUUCACUUGAACUUCAAAUAUCUGAUGAAAACUUCUCUCAAUUAGAUGAAAGAGAAAGAAAUUUGGUAAGGGUAGCCUGCUCUUUGGUGAUGUUUUGUAAUUUAUAUAUAACCUUUAUUUUAGACAUGUGGCAAAUAUGAAUAGCAUAAUUUUGAGUAAUGCUGGCAGGAAAAUGAGGUUAAGAGGAAGGCAAGCCAACUCGACGAAAGACAAUUUGAACCAAAUAAAUGUGAAGUGGAAAAGGAGAUAUAUAGUGUAGAUCAAAAGAUUAAGGCUGUCAGUCGAGAGAAGGAUAUCAUGGUUUCUGAUUCACAGGACAGAGUUAAGCUAUCUUAUAAGAAGGGAGAGUUGGAAAGUCAGAAGAAGAAACAUAAAAAGAUGUAGAUCCAUUUUCUUUUUAUCUCCUUUGCUUUUGGCUUUUUGUUUUCAAAAUUAUAUAUUUAGAAGUUGGUGAUCAUCUGUUUAUUCUUUACAGAAUUGAUGAACAAAAGGACAAAAUAAGAAAGGUGCUGAAAGGGAGGGUUCCUCUUGAUAAGGAUGUGAAGAAGGAAAUUAUGCAAGCAUUAAGGUUUGGGAAAUCUUUUCUUUCAUUGUUUGCAUCUAACUUGUAGUUGUCGUCCUAUCUCCUAUCUCUUGAAUUUGGACUGAACCUAACUCAAUCACAAAAGUUAAAUCAUAAGGUAAGGAUUAUUGAAAACUUUUUAAGCUCUACGGUGGCCAUAUCAUAUCUAUAGUCGAUGUGAGAUCUCAGUACACACUCCUCAUGCCCAAAAUUGAACAUGUACGUGGAGAUUAUAGGACUGAUUAUUUUACUCCCUCCGUUCCAGAUUAUAUGACGUUUUGGAGAAAAAAAAUUGUUCCAAAAUAUAUGUCGUUUUGCAAAACCAAUGCUGCAUUAAAUAUUUUUUCCAUGACUACCCUUAAUCAAUACAUAGUGGGAGUAGUGUAUAGGAAGAGUAAAUUAGUCAUUAAUUAGAGAGAUAAAGGGUAUAUUAGGAAGUUACUUAAUGUUUUCUUUGAAAUUCAAUAAAUUAAUUGCAUUCCUUAAUACUUGUACCAAAACCUUAAACUUCAUAUAAUCUAGAACGGAGAGAAUAUAUUGCACUAAGAAUGCCACUGUGGUGUUGAUUGCUCAGCAAAGUUUGUGGAACUAAAUUCAUUUUUUUGACAUUUGAGGAUGAGCCAAUAUCAGAUUUAUAAUAUUGUUGAAAUGACAACUGUGAGUGAAAAAAUCCCACAUUAGGUUAAAGUGCAAAGUAGAUCAUAUAUUAUCUUGUAUUUAUGUUUUUUUUUUGUGGUUCAGGGCUGUUGGAGCUGAAUUUGAUGACCUGAAUGCAAAGUACCGUGAAGCUGAGAAGGAAGUCAAUGUGUUGCAGGUGAAAAUACAAGAAGUUAAUAGUAACCUAUCCAAACACCACAAGGAUUUGGAAUGUAAGUGCUGUAUAUCAUUCAAAGAAGUUGCAUAUAAAUAUUGUAGUUUAUGAGUGAAAUCAAUGUUUCGUGUUCUGCAUUUGUAAUGUUGCAAUGGUUCACAGGUAAUUUACUUGUGUAGUUGACACAUCAAAAGAUUUUUAUUUUCUUUUAAAAUUUAAAAAUUUCCCCCCCCCCCCCCCCCCCCCCAUAUUGUGUGGCACUCUUUUUAAUUAAGUCUAUUUCAAUUUAGUCCUUUAUAACAAUCAUUUUCAAUUUACUGCUUACUGUUUUUUGUUUUAUAAUACUGUCUAUAGUCUAUUAGAGUUAUAUUAGUGUAGGGAUCUAAUUAUAAUUAGAUCACUAAUAGUAUAUUUUUGGUCCCUAUAUAUGUAACACUCAUUUUUCAUUUGUUUAUUGUACUUCACUAUAACUCCAUACCAAUUUCAUUGUUAUAACAGGGAUGAAUUUGAAAAAUUGUUGUAUAUGCAUCAAAUUGAAAAUAUGCAUAUGUAUAUGGACAAAAAAUAUAUCUAAACCUUUCUCUGGAAUAACUACAGUUUUUAGUUUUAGGAUUGUAUGUUUUUUACAUUCUCUAGGUACAUAGUUUUUCAAGAACAAAUAAAAUUGCUGGAUGCUGCUUCAUGUAUGGUAUUACUUUAGUAAUAAAGAAGUUUGAUGAUGUCAAAUACAGUCAUAUAAUAAUAAAAAAACCCUAAAUCAUACAUCAUAAUGGAAUCAACACACAAAACCCCUAUUGAUCCCUAACAUAGAAUAUUCAUUUAAUCAUCAUAUCAAGGAGAUCAAUGCAUUCAAUUACCAUCUCAAGCAUAUCAAUAAUUAUGGGGAAAAGGGGAACACAUUUGGGGAUGCAUACAAAGCCAUCAAUGCAGUUAUGGGGAGGGGGAAACAUGCAAGGGAAUGCACUCACCUGGAUAUAGUUGACAACUCCCCUAACAGGGUGCCUAGGUUGUCCAUUCUGCGUUUCUCCUCUUCUCCCUUAUCUAUUUCCUCCUCUCCUUUCCUUUCCCACGACGUGUGCAUUAUGAGGGUGUGGAUGUGGCUCGGGGUUUAUGAACUGUCGCCAUUUAUUGGGCCAUAGCAGCCCUUCGCCCCUUUCUUUUAAAAAUCCAUCUCUCUUUUAACUGAAGCCCAUGUGUUAAGCUAUUAACUAAAUCCUUCCUAAUUAUUAGAAUACCCCUUUUUAUAAUAAGACUAACUUUGUGGGAUGUUACACAAAUCAUCUACGUUGAGUUUUUUAAAAGUUUGGGUUUGUAGGUUCUAAUGUCUACGUGAAUUUUUUUAGUGCUUUUGAAAGCCACACGGUUCUGCAUAUCAAUAAUAUGAUAAUAGUGUGCCAUAAAUAGAAAUAGGCAAAUAGCCAUUCCAUAGUUUAGCAUUUUGUAUGUGUCUCUUAUUCCCAAUUGAUAUUUUUAUAUCUUUAUGCUGCUUCUCCUUUGCCCAGUAGUCUAGUGUGCUUUUUUUCUUCUGCCAUGCUGAAUUACUGAACACAGUUUUGCACCAUUUAUAAAUAAUUUUCUUGCAGCAAGAAAGAGAUAUAUUGAAUCUAAGCUUCAGUCUUUGGACCAGCAAUGUUCUGGAAUUGAUUCUUAUCUCAAAGUUUUAGAGUCUGCCAAGGAGAAAAGAGAUGUCCAAAGAAGGUCAAUUUGUGCCAGACAUUCAUGACGUCAUCUUUGUGACCAUAUCAAAGUGUUGUUUGUGUUGUCACUAGGUACUGGUCUCAUGUACUAAUACUUUGUCUGGUGAUUGCUUGCAGCAAAUAUAAUAUUGCUGAUGGUAUGCGGCAAAUGUUUGAUCCUUUUGAAAGGGUUGCAAGAGCUAAUCAUGUUUGCCCUUGCUGUGAGCGUCCUUUUUCUCCAGAAGAAGAAGACAGUUUUGUCAAAAAGGUUGGUACAUUUCACAUCAUAUUAUAAUAUACUGAUAUUAUCUAUUGGUUUUGAGCAAGCACUUUAUAUCCUUUUGAAUUGUUUUUUUUUUCUUUUCUAAUGACAGCAAAGAGUGAAGGCUACCAGUUCAGCUGGACAUAUGAAAGUUCUCGCCGUAGAAUCCUCAAAUGCAGAGUCUCAUUUUCAGCAAUUGGACAAGCUUCGUAUGCUUUAUGAAGAAUAUGUUAAACUUGGCAAGGAAACAAUCCCUAAUUCCGAAAAGGAACUUCAGCAACUUAAAGAAGAGAUGGAUGACAAAUCUCAGGCUCUUGAUGAUGUAAUUAUCAUAAUUUCUUUUAAGUAGAAAGUUGAAUCCCUCCAUACUUGUUACUUCCUUUCUUGAAUGUUUGCUUUGUGGAUAAUGAUGAUUAUUAUUUUUUUUAUCAAUUGUUUAGUAUUAUCUAUUUCCCCCCUUUUGCUUGGUGUUAACUUGUUUUAGAUUACACAACUACUGCAACUGUCAGGUUUUAGGCGUUUUAGCACAAGUAAAAUCUGACAAGGAUUUGGUUGAGACAUUGGUGCAACCUGUUGAAAAUGCUGACCGGAUUUUCCAAGAAAUUCAAGCUUUACAAAAGCAAGUUGAGGAUUUAGAAGAUAAGCAUAAUUUUCGAGCACAGGGAGUGAGGACUCUAGAAGAGAUUCAAUUGGAGCUUAACACAUUGCAGAGCACAAAGUAAAUAGCUUAAGAUAGUUUCUACUUUAUACUAACAUGAACAAUUUCACAAUCUAGAUCUAUCAAGAUAAAUUGAUUCUUUCAUCUCAGCAUCAUCUCCUAUUCCCUAAGUGCACUUAUUUACUAUGAGUUUUUGUUUUAUGUUUCUUAUUCCUAUAAUUAUUUCCAUGCAUAUCUUGGUUACAAGGGAGAAUUUGCAAUCUGAAUUGGAUCGGUUGAAGGAUGAACAGAGGUAUAUGGAGAAGGAUCUAUCAAGUAUUCAAAUGCGGUGGCACACUGUAAGGGAGGAAAAAACAAAGGCAACUAACAUAUUGCAAGGUGUUAAAAGAUUAGAAGAAGAAUUGGAACGUUUAACUGAAGAAAAGACCCAAGUUGAUCUCGACGAGAAGGUGUAUAAUUAUCUCAUACAUUGAUGGAUACUUAAUUUUGAGUUAUAGGCAUGUGUAAUUGCUUUUUUACCCCUUUCCGUGUAUGAGAGUACCUUAUACACAUUCUAUAUAUUUUAUCUUCAAAUUCAAUGUGUUGUAUCUUUGUCUAUAUAGAAUAAAGAAAUUAAACAGCUACUCCCCCACCCCACCCACCCACUAAAGGAAUUGCCUGUUUUUCAAAAUUCUCAAGCUUACUGAUUGAUUCAUACACUUGUUUUUAGUUCAUUUUCAGACUUAACAUGAUCUGUUUGUGUUUAUUUACAAAAAUAAAAAAUAACAAUUUAGACACCCUUUAUUUCAAAAUUCUUUACAUCAAUCAAAAUUGCCAAAUUUAUGAACUGAUUACUUUGUUGCUACUAUUUUAAAAAUGCUCUAGUUUUUUUGUCUUUCUUUACCAUGUCCAAAUGCAUAGUAUCACCCAAAAUUUUGGUAUUUGCAGCAUUUGGCAGAUGCUCUUGGACCUUUAUCCAAGGAGACAGACAAAUUACUUGCUAACCAUAAUGAACUGAAAAUUAGACUCGAGCGUGAGUAUGAGGACCUGGCUGAACAGAAGAGAAGUUAUCAACAAGAAGCUCAAGCACUUUUUAAAAUGAAUUCUAAGAUCAAAACGUAAGCUUAUUUGCUUGAAAAAUGUUAGCUUUUAAGACUCUGAAUUUCUUUAACAUAUGUUUCGUUUGAUCAGGUAUUCUGAUUUAAAGAAAGGAGACAGGCUAAAGGAACUGCAGGAAAAGAAAUCUUCAUCAGAAUCUCAACUUCAAAGUUUUGAUACAAGGAAGCAGGAAAUUUUAGCUGAACUAAACAAAAGUAAAGAUUUGAUGCGAGGUCAAGAUCAACUAAAAAGAAAUAUUGAGGACAACUUAAAUUACCGGAAAACAAAGGCUGAAGUAGAUGAGCUAGCACAUGAAAUUGAAACAAUGGAAGAAAAUAUAUUGAAGGCUGGUAGGAUUUCCACAGUUGAAACUGAACUCCAGAAACUAUCACAGGAGAGGGAGAGACUUCUUUCAGAGGUAUUUUCAAAUCCUGAAUCAUACAUCUAUGCUUGCAAUCUUAAUUAGUUUAGCCAAUUAUCAUUUCUAUGUUCACAUCUUCGAUAGUUAUAUACUAUUCCUUCUAGUGUAGAACUGACACACCUUAUUUUUCUCUUUUUGGUUAUAUACCGGUGCCUUGGUGAUAGUUAAACAGGUGCCGUGGAACAAUGUCUGUUUACCAAAGCAAUAUUUCCAAAAAUAAGGUUGAUCUUAAGCAGGCUCAAUACAAGGACAUAGAUAAGCGAUACUUUGACCAACUUAUCCAGCUUAAGGUGUAAUCACCUGUGAUACCAAUACCAUAUUUGUAUGCUUUCUUUAAUUCUCUGUUUUAUGUUGUUGACAAUUCAACUUUUCUUUGCAGACAACUGAAAUGGCCAACAAGGAUCUAGACAGAUACUACAGUGCACUUGAUAAGUGAGUUUCUUUAAAAUUCAGUAAUGUUCAACAUUACAUCAAGUUUGUAUGGCUUGAGUGAUAUUGCUUCUUCAGUCCAAACCAAGGAAUCCCUUAAAUAUGAUUCAAAAUGGAUCCUAUUCUAUCGUUGAUCAGAGAUUUAUUUCUAUAUGAAAAAUAUGAAUCAGAGUUUGAAGAAAAGACAGGGGAGGGGGGGGGGUCCUUGACCUCUGUUAUCUGAUAGUCAUGGUUUUGCAAUGCAUAACUAAUUGAAUAAGAUAACUUCUUACCUCAUAAGGCCAUUUCUCUCUUGUACUUCAAAAGCUGACGCAUGUAACCACCUCAUUUUGCAUUGCGAGGUGCUGAGGUUACUUGGCAGCUUUGGUAUAAGCUGUUUGGGUAAUGCUGGAUAUUUCUGUUAUUUGCUAUAAUUAUAUUAUGUGCAUUUACUUGCUCAAUUGUAUGUUAUAUGUGUUGGGAAUGCAAAUGCACAUGCUUUAUUCUUCCUGACAUGGAAAAUAGAAGGGUUACACUUUAGGUCCCUUAGCAUUAAUAUUUGAAAUUUAAUCUCAUUAAACAUUUAGCUUUAAUUAUAUGAUAAUGCAGAACCCCAUAGUUUUUGAAUUGGGUGCAAUCAAGUUCCCUUCUCUAAUUGGCAUUAACAUGGCGCCCUUUGCUUAUGCGGCAUUAUGAAAUGCCAUUUUGACCUUAGUAAAGUCAAAAGGCCACAUUAGCAAAAGCAACAUGAAGUCUGCAUCUGGUUGAUUGGGAGCUCCACUUAAUCAACUGGAAAACUAUCAGAAUAACAUUGUUGCAAUUGAACAAGGGGGAGCCAACAACACCAAACUAUAAUAAACCAAGGAGACUAAAAAAUAUAAUUAGGUCAUCAAGGCAGGGAAAUGCAUGUCUUUCAAGAAGUUCAUGAAAUCAGUUUCCUCAUUUUCUGUGUUUAGUUCUUGUUGCAAGCUAAUUAUCACGCCUGAAAUACAAUUACAAAUUAUGAAAUGAAAGCAUAUUAAACUGUCUACUUCUAGUUUCCAAGCAAUAAUCAAUAUGGUUACACUUGUUAACAAAUUAGAUACUUAUGUAUCAAAUUACUGAUCAUAAUCUGCAUUUGAUUUUUGUUCAUUUGUGACUUUUUAUGAUUCAUCUUUCAGAGCACUGAUGCGCUUCCACACAAUGAAAAUGGAAGAAAUCAACAAAAUUAUAAGGGAAUUGUGGCAGCAAACCUAUAGAGGACAAGAUAUAGACUACAUCAGUAUUCAUUCAGACUCCGAAGGUGCAGGGACCCGUUCCUACAGUUACAAGGUUUGACAUAUCGUAUUGAAACACCAAUUCCUUGAGAAGCUGUCUAAUAUCCUCAUAAAAUCUUUGAAAUAUUGUUCUUGUGCAUUCCAUACAGGUUCUCAUGCAGACUGGUGAUGCAGAGUUGGAGAUGAGAGGAAGAUGUAGUGCAGGUCAGAAGGUAUGUUAUCACCGAGGGAAUUGCUAUGUGCCUAUGUCUAGUAUUCCUUUUUUUUAAAAUAAAAAUAAAAAUAAUAAACAAAUAAGCUUGACUUAAUUGUGAGGUUCCAGGUUCUGGCCUCUCUUAUCAUACGGUUGGCUUUAGCUGAAACGUUUUGUCUCAAUUGUGGAAUACUUGCACUGGACGAACCUACCACAAAUUUGGAUGGACCAAAUGCUGAAAGUCUAGCUGCAGCUCUCGUAAGGUGUGAAUAGAUUGUCGCCUAGUUCUGAUUAAAUUUUCAUGCCUCCAUUCCUAAUUAUAAGAUCCUUUCAACUAAUUCACACCUCUUAAGAAAAUUAGUUAAUUUAUUUAAUUACAUUAAAUUUGUCAAUUAUUUAUACAAUCGUUCUAAAUUUUUUUUUUUAUCUCUCUAUCCACUUAAUUACUUCUCAUUAAUAUUUGGAGAUAGAAUAAUUUAGUAAAGAUAUAUAGGAAAAAAAAUUUAAUGUGUCUAAAAAUUAGAAAGAAGUCUUAUAAAAAAUGACAAACAAAUUUCUGAAAAUGAUGUUAUAAUUAAGGACGGAUGAGUGAAUUAAUUUUGUAUUAAUGUGCUGUUAUCUUCUUUAUAAUGCAGGAUCAUGGAGGACAGGAAAGGGCAGGAAAAUUUUCAGCUAAUUGUAAUCACUCAUGAUGAGCGUUUUGCUCAACUGAUAGGGCAGCGCCAGCAUGCAGAGAGAUAUUAUCGUGUCGCCAAAGAUGACCAGUAAGAACGACGAUAAUUACAGUUUCAUUUUGUUUUCAUGUCAAUAUCGCAUAAGAAAAGAAAUUCUGUUUACUUAACUUCUCCGUCUCACAUUUUCAGUCAGCACAGUAUAAUCGAAAGCCAGGAGAUAUUUGACUGAAGGAAGGAUUUUAUAUUCGAAAUUGCUUGUUGGUGUUACCAGUACCGACUGGCGGAAUUGAAAAACCAGACAUCCCUCGAGUCAUUUAUGCUAACUGCUGUCGAUAUAGGAUAUCGUAGGUGGGGUCGUCCUAGUAAAUUAAAAGGUUUAAACACUUGACUGCAAUUUUCACAUUUUGAUAAGCAUUUCAUUUAUGACCUGCUGCAGUUGCAAUGAAAGAUCUGUACGUAGAAAACAACGGUUUUCUGUUUACUGGUAGAAGAUUUAUUGCAUUGUAUGGAUGAUCUCAGUCAUUGUGAAAAAAUGAGGCCUGUAAAUCAGGAUACUGAUAUGAAAAUUAAAAAAAAAUUAUUAUUUUUCAUAGGGAUAUUAUUUUUGUAUAGCAAUUCAUUGAAGUAACUUGAAAUGAACAAAAGCUUUCUCCAGCUUCGAAUGGUAAGCAUAAUAUUUGAUUUUGUUAUUAAGAAAAUAUAUUAUGUAAGGAAAACAAAACAAGACAAAUGAACUUAAAAUUGAAUCGAAAAACCAAGCUAGCCUGUGACACCAGAAAACAAAAGAUUGCGCAAGACAUUUUGAAGCUAGUCCUUGUACUUCAACUCAGAUACAAGGAAGCCAGGCAUAUUGUUGUCAACAUCAGCUUUGAGCUCUUCAAUGGCCCUAUUGUUGAAAUCCUUCAAAAGUUUGCCAUACUCCUUCUGGAUGUCCAGUGUGAAAAUCAGUGCACGAUGAAGGAACUCUCUGAUCUGCUCAAAGUCCUUAUCAACCAAGCCCCUAGAAGUCAGCUAUAUACCGGAGCAUUACUGACACUUCUCCUUCUCAAUCAGCUCUUGGAUUUCUGGGUCCACCGUCACCUGUUUAACUAUCACCGCUUCCGACCUUCACUUCACUUAACAGUUAACACAACACAAACCAAACAACUGAUAGUGCACUGUGCUUUCUGAUCUGAUCUGCCCUUUAAACCCAAUUCCCCAUUCCCUACCAUAUGCUAAUGGACCAUUCUACCCCUUUUUCUGCUAUAUUUUCGUUUUACUUUACUGUUAGAUGUGACUCAUGCGAGGUGGUUUAAUGAAAAUGAAAGAUACAAAGAAAAAAAAGAAGGAAAAAAGUAUGCUGUAUGCGCAAAUUAAAUGAAAGAGAAUUGUCCACGUGUCUAAAGGUGUUAAGUACAACUACUACAUAGAGGUUGAUUUGUAAGUAAUAAUACACUAGUACUUCACAAAAGACCAACCCUGCCCUGCCCAUAAAUAUAAUUGUCUCAUUCCCAUUUGCUUGACUGCAAAUUUAUUUCUGUAAGCUGUGGUCGGGUUAGAAAAAUUCUGACGUGUAACUGAAAACUGUGGUUAAGCUUCUUUCUUUGUUCUCACUUCUCUUCUCUCCGGUGUAGUGUAGUUGGUGGUUUAUCGUCAAUUGGGUUGGUGAGGGUCGCAUGGUCAUUUUAUUGUAUUGCUAGAUCAUAUCAUCAUGCAACUUAUAAAGACAUUAUCACGUUAAACGUUACUCUAGCGUAGUUUUGCUCGUGGCAUUACGAGUUGUAUAUCAUAUCAUUACUAAGUGAUAAUAAAUAUUAUUUUAAAAAAUAAAAUUUAUGAAAGUAAUUUAAAUGUCUUCAUUUUAUAUCCGUGUUCAUUUUUUUUAAUCUGUUUUGGCUACAUUCCAAAAUUGUGAGUAAUUUGUUAACUAUGGUAUUGAGUUGCUGAAACUUUGACGCUUGUAUUAUAAAUAUCUUAUCAAUAUACUUGACAUUAUAUCUUGCUAAUUCUAAGAAAAAUGAUGUAAUGAAAAGAAACUUGUUCAUAUAUUUAAAGAGUGAAUAGACAAUUUAGUCUCUGAGAUUGUACCUAUUUUGCAUAUUAGUUCCUAACUUAAUAUUAAAUUCAAAAUAGUCCCUAUCUUUGCAUAAGUGUUGCAAAAUAGUCAUUCCAUUAAAUUUUAAAGUAACGCCGUUAGUGAGGUCAAUUUUAGUGCCACGUGGACUAUCCACGUGGCACUAAAAGAUGAUGUGGCAUGACACGUGGACGUGCCUAAUGCCACGUCAUUUGAUAAUAACAAAAUGAGUAAAUAGGCAAUUUAGUCCCUGACUUUGUACCCUUGUUGCAUAUUAGUCCCUAACUUAAUGAAAAAUUCAAAAUAGUCCCUAUCUUUUACAUAACUAUUGCAAAAUAGUCCUUCCGUUAAAUUUUAAAGUAAUGUUGUUAGUAAGGUCAAUUUUAGUAUCAUGCCAUUUGAUGAUGAUAGAAUGAGUGACUUCUUCAAAUUUGAUGAUUUUGAACCAAUUGAGGCAUAUAUACGAAAAAGAACUCACACACACUUACACAAAUAAAAAGAACCAAAAAUCCACAACAACAACCUUAUCUCUGUAGCUGUCAACACCAAUGGGCGAGGUUUGCAUAACCAUUCUCUUUUCCUCUUUUUUUUUCUUCAAUUACCAUCAAUGUAUCAUUCUGGGUUCUGAUUUUUUUGUGUGUUUUGAAUAGGAAGAGAAAAAACCAGAGGAAAACAAAGUGGAGGAGAAAAAAGCAAAUGAAGAAGAAAAGAAAGAAGAAGAGAAAAAACCAGAGGAAUCAAAAGAUGACAAGGAAUCCAAGGAGGAAUCUGCACUGCCAGAAAUCGUGUUAGGCACAACCUUUGCAAUGCAUUGACACUUUAAGCAUGAUUUCUAGCAUCUUUUAAGUUAGGGACUAUUUUGCAACACUUAUGCAAAAGAUAGGGACUAUUUUGAAUUUUUCAUUAAGUUAGGGACUAAUAUGCAACAGGGGUACAAAGUCAGGGACUAAAUUACCUAUUUACUCAUUUUGUUAUCAUCAAAUGACGUGGCAUCAGGCACGUCCACGUGUCAUGCCACGUCAUCCUUUAGUGCCACGUGGAUAAUCCACGUGACACUAAAAUUGACCUCACUAACGGCGUUAUUUUAAAAUUUAACGGAAGGACUAUUUUGCAACACUUAUGUAAAGAUAGGGACUAUUUUGAAUUUAAUAUUAAGUUAGAGACUAAUAUGCAAAAUGGGUACAAUCUUAGGGACUAAAUUGCCUAUUCACUCUAUAUUUAAAUAUCGAUCAAAUUGAUUGAGUUUAUAAUACCAAUUAGAAAAUUAUGAAUGAGAGUGUUUAGGAAGAAUCAUUUUUUAUUCAUUUUGGCUAAGUACAAACAUAGAUGAAUUACAUUUCAUAUUGUGGAUUUAUUUGGGUAAAUAUAAGUGAACCAUGUAUUAUAUGAUUAAGUUCACGUGCCAAUUUUCUUUUUACAUUCUAUUUGCCUAAAUUGAGUGGUUAUAAUACAUGUUUUAUGAAAUCACUUUGACUAAGCCCGUGCAAUGUCUGAGAUUAUGAGUAAUUAUAUGUUUAAAAAUUAACCAAAUUGAUUGGCGUUUAUAUAUAAUGUGUGUUAGAAAAUUAUGAAUUACAGUAUUUGGAACCAUUUUUUUUAUUCAUUUUCGUUACAUUGCAAAAAUGUAUGUAAAUUAGUGAAUGACUUGGAUGAAGUAAGCAUGUCGUUCGUGAACUAUGGUAUUAAGUUGUUGAAACUCAUGUUUGCAUUGUAAAAAUUGUCAAAACUCAUUAUUAUUAAACUUUUACUUAAAAUUACUUGCGGUAAAAGAAAAUGUACAAAUGGUUAAUUGUUUCCAUAAUAACGAAAAUGUAUAAGGUUAUUGAAUAAAUUAUUUGUUAAAUUUAAUAGUGUAUUUAUUGAAGCAAAUUGUAUUACACUUUUGUUGAAGUGUCUUUUAUGGCUUUUAUAUAAGAACUAAGAAAUGCAAUAUAUUUUCUGGUUAGUUAUGAAAUUUUUCAUUGUAACCUUUAUAUAUAUAUAUAUAUAUAUAUAUAUAUAUAUAUAUAUAUAUAUAUAUAUAUACUCUACAAUAAAUACAUACUAGUUCUUUUUCUUAUUCACUUCCAUGGUAAAUGUAUAAUUUAAUUUAAAAUUAGAUGAAAAGUAAGAGCUAAAUUGAAAAACAAAUGUUAUCUUAAAUUUUAAAAAUAUACUCCCUCUUGGUCUUAAUUAUAUGAAAAAAAAUGCAUGUAUGUUGGUCCAGUAAAUAAAUAAAUCUAAAUUAAUUUUACUUUUUAAAAGGUAGUAUUAAAUAAUAUUAGUAAAAUUAAAUAAUAUUAACUAAUAAAAGGUAGUAUAACAAAAAAGUUUACUUUUUAAAGAGAUUAGUAAAAUUAAAUAAUAUUAACUAAUUUUUUUAACUUUCAUAAAUCAUUGUUAUUAUUUAUAUUCCAUACCGAAAAAAGUAAAAGAAUAAUAUUUUUUUUAAAAAAGAGAAAAUUAAAAAGAAAUGGAGUAAGUAGUAAUCAAAUUUUAAAAUUUUUACCAUCGUUAAUUUACCAGAUCACCGACAAGACAAAUAUAAAGAGCUGGGGCUACCAUUUUCACAGGUCCAACGUUUGGCAGCUAAGCCCCAUGCCUUUUUAAUUUCAACGUUCUUGCUUUGCUUUUCGGCUGUCCUCCAUUUCUGUGCCCCGUUUACUUCAACAUUCACAGAAAAUAUUUUAGUUUUAUAUUUAAAAUUAUAAAACAAAAAUCACCUGUAAAUUACAUUAUGUGAAAUAAAAAUAUAUAAUUAAGCUUAGACGAUUUUUUUUUAUCAAGUAUGCAACACCCACCUAUAGAACACAGUCUUCGUGGGUUCAUUUCAUUGUAUAUUCCAAUUUCCAAGCAUAUAUUCAGAUCCUCUAAGUAUGAAUUUUGAAAAUAUAACAUUACCGGUAUAUGUUUAGACUAAAGUUUGUGAACUUAAAUUUGGAUUAAAUUUAAGUUUAUAAAUUAAGUUUGUAAAAAUAUCUCAAGUCUUAUUUUUAUUAAUCUGAGUUUUUAAAUAAAAAUUUAUUCUCAAACAUUCUUUUUAAGGAUAAUCAAACAUAAUGAUUUUAAAUUGAUUUUCCUCUCAAACGUAAUUUUAAAACACUUCCAUUAAAAAUUUAAACAUACUCUUAGGAUCCUUUUGGUUUAGAGGAAUGAGAAAGGUAUUAAAAUAAACUGAGAUGAAAAAAUAUAAAAUAUUUGAAUUACAGUACGUAGAGUAUAAAGGUGUAAGAUGUACACUAAUUUUUUUUUAAACUUUCAUCUCAAAUGCAAUCAAGUUUUAAGUCCCAUUUAACCAAAUAUUACCUUAAUGUCAAACAAGAUCCAAAUGAUCCUGGAUUCAUGUCCGUCUAAAAUUUGAGAUACUUGAAAAUAUAUUAAGCAAGUUUCAAAUGACAUUAUUUAAUAAGGUCUUGAAUUUGAGACCCUUAAAAAUAUACUAAAGGUAAUUAAUCAAAUUUUCUUUGAGAAUAAGUGGUAUGGAAUGUAACAUGGUGGCAAAACGGAAAAAUGAUAUGGGGUGGUGGAACUGGAGCUUGCUUCACGGGUAUUUUAUUUUGUCAAUCUGAGACCCACCAACCGCGGAGUCAUGAUCAGAGGUUGCUGAGUGUUGAGGUUUCAAUUGUGGCUCUCAACAAAACACCACUGCUGUGACAAAUAUAGUAUUAGUAGGCGAGACAACCACGUAGCAUUAAAAAACACACAAAUAACACCUCAUAAUUAAAGACAUAAACUCUCUGUUUGUGUACUGCUAGAUGUAAAAUAAAAUAUAUAUAAAAUCUGAGAUAUUUAUCCAAUUUAUACCAUUUUUAAAAAUAAUAUCAGGGAUAUUUAAUUAAAGUACAGUAACAUAUAUGUGUAAACAUAAACAUAAUGAACAAAAUUAAAAGAAGUAUGAAACACUGCAUCCAGAAAAGAAAAAGGUUGACAAUGAAACACAUGCACACAAGAAAGCAAAGGUAAGACGAACAAGAAGAUUUAUUAAUUAUUCCUAAAGCACACAUAAAUAAUCUCUGUUAGAUACUGGCGGCGGUGGAGGUUUUCUAUACAGCAGCUGUAUAUAUGUAUAGUUCAUCAAGACAGGCCUUUGCGAUCGGGUGUAACGUUACUAUACAGCUUUGAGCUUUUCCACGCUAUUUUUUGUUUCUUGGGCAAGCUUUUGGAAACUAAAUUAUUUUUGUUUUAAAUAAAUGUUAUCAAUUUUUGUUAAGUUAUAUGGGAUAAAGAAGACAUAAACGGAUAGUCAUACACAAAUGUGUUUGAGCCUUUUUAAUAUGAAAAAUACAUGUAUUUUAGUCAAAAUAAAAAAUAAAUAAUGAUAUCAUAUCUCAACAUAAUCUCAAAGGAAAAAAAAAAGAAUGAUAGCACAGUUUAUGUACUUUAAUUUGGAGGUUGGAAUGUCUUACUAGUCCAGAGAACUAGAGCCCAGAGGUGGAUACACUACUUUUAAAGCAUUAAUUAAACCAACAUUUUAAAAGUAUAAUAAAUAUAUUUUUAAGAAAAUACUUUUUAUUUGUUUAGAUUAAUCAUUUAUGUAAAAAAAAAAAAGAAGAAAAAAGAGUGAUAAGAUUAAUGUGCUAAGUUGCAUAAAUCAGUCCUAGUAACUUGAUAGACAAGACAGAUAGAGUUAAAAUUACAAAAAGUGACUCAACUUAAUUGUCCAGUUUGAGUUGUUUGACAUGCAUGCACACAAAACAUCAACAAACAUUUGAAUGAGCAGAAAUCCAUAUAGAGGCUUAAUUUGGUUAAGAUAAGUAGGAAAAUGAGGAUCUAAAUAAAAUUUUAGUGAUGGUACUAGUAGCAUUAAACGAUCAUGUAAUAUUGCCAUGGCAUGCAUAAGUAACAAUAAGAAAUGAUUACACGUAUACGUAGACACGAAAUAAGAUGAGAUGAAUUGAUUUGACUUGGUGCAGAAGAGGAGAUGGAGCGAAUCAGCAUCGUCCAUUUGGAGUGAGUGGAAGCUAUUUAAAGGCAUAUUCUGAGACUGGCAGACUUGGUAACGAUCGAGCUUUGGAGAUGGCGUUGUUGGUUGAGAAAACAAGCAGCGGAAGAGAGUACAAUGACGCAAGCAGAUUUCGGAAGAUUAAAAUCGUUUGAACUUGAAUGUCAUCGAGUCGGAUCCGGAAUAGUUGGCAGAUCUACAGUUCCCCUCGCAUAAUGUUACGGAUUCAAUAUUCAAACAAUAAUGUGACCAUAGCCCUUGUCAGUAAGAAGAUUAAAAUGAACUGUCAGAAAUAUUUGAUACUGCACGUGUUGUUUGUUACUAUAUAUGCAUCUAAUAAUCUAUUAUACACUUUAAUCCUCUGGCCCUCCAAUACAAUUCGUUUUUCUUAUAAAAAAAAUCUAUAGUUGUCACCUAUGAAGCACGGACACUUCAGCUCCUUACUGUAUUCGAUGUCUGACACGCGUCAGUAUCUAACACCGACACGACACCCGCACUACGUUCUAUAUUUUGGACAUUACAGGUGUCCACGUGUCCGUGUCCGUGUCGUGUCCGGUGUUCGUAUCGGUGUUGGUGCUUUAUAGGUUGCCACUAUACAAAGUGAAGUUAUUCUUUGCAGGGUCAAAGAUCUAAAAACCCAAAAUAAUAAGCUAGAAUCAAAAUGGAAAAGAGAGAGAGACAAGAAAAUCCACCAUUUUUCGCCUGCUCCAAAGUCCCAGCUUUCCACUUCUUUUUCCACAUUUAAUCCUUUUAUAUCAUCAAAGUCCCAGCUGAUUGUUACAUAAGGAUACUUGAUGCUUCAAUUUUGGUUGAACCGGGUAUCCUUCCGCCAAAACCCAAGAACUUAUCCUGUGUAUGAUCAGAUUGGAUUCAUCUCUCUCAACAAAUACUUUUUCAUACACACGGAUAAAAAAAAAGCAAAAAUUGAUCACAAUUUUAUAAGCAACUUAGAGAUAUAUUAUUAAAAUAAUAGUUAAGAACACAAUAAAACUUUUUUUCUUCCGAUAGUACACAUAAAGCAUUCAUGUACCUUAUAUUCUCGUCUGAAUGAAAAUAAUUUUAUAUGAUAAUUAUUUAUCUCCACUUUAUUACUACCUUCGUUCCUGUAUAUAAAAACAAAUAUUUAAUUCAUCAAGAUUAAUGAAAAUAGUUAAAUUAGUUUAUUUUAAUUAAUAUUAUAAUAUUUAAUUUUUUUUCUAAAAUACCCAUAAAAUUGGUUCAGGUGAUAAUUAGAUAUAACAAAAAUAUUGGUAAUCCAAGGAAAAAGAUUCAACCAAUGAGUAUGAGUUAUAUUGUUAAUAACUCAAUAAAUACACUUAUUAGUAAAAUUCAUAAUAAAUUAGAUGUAUAAAAGAAAAUUAAUAAUUAAUACAUUUGAAAGUAAUCAUAGGAAAAAUACUAUCAUUUAUUUCUUAUAUAAAGAAUCAGAGGUAGUAUUUAACAUUCCUUCUACUUUAUUCAUAUAAGGGUUGGUAAGUAAGUUGUUGGUGAAAAGGGCCGUUGUGGAACCCAAGGCAGGUUCGUUUACGCCAGACACAAAAAAUAAAAAGAAAAUGAAUCAGCUUCCAUAAUAUUCGCUCUAAUUUUUUUACAUCACUAAUAGGCCUUCUUAUUUUGUGCAAAGAGGCGAAGAGGGUUAGUUAUUUUGGAUUCGGAAAUUGGCAUUGAAAGAAAAAUAAAGGUACGAGAAAGAAAGUGGUUUUAAUGAUGACAGUAGCAAAAAUGAUGCUAUAAUUUGGGUCCAGCAGAUGCAGGCACUGAUGCAUAUAUAGCCCAUUAGCCCCUUCUUUAUAAGUGGCGCCGUUUGAACACUCCCCACCUCCCCCCAAAGAAAAAGUGGCGCCUACCAUUCAUUAGUCAUUACCAAUAGGCAAUAAUCCAGUGAUCAUCAUAACUGAACUGCAAUUACAACUUAGAAGCUUCAAUGCGAUCCACCCAACCCAACGCGUUUCACAACCAAAAUUCAGCUUUACACUGUUAUUGAGCAAAGUCAAGGUUUUCAUACUAAGCCUUUUUAGCCUUGGCACAUUUCAUAUUAUUCCUAACUAACUCCCUUCACCAUUAACAUUAAUCUAAUUACGCCACAUGGAACUCCUUCAAUUCAUACAAAUACAGUUGGGCCUAGGGUAGGAUCCCAUGAAAAUCUCAUAAGUGACCAAGCAUGACACGGAAGAAAGAGUUGAGUAAAUGUGAAUAAUUUUCAGAACUUGCUCAACAUCUUUCAAACUUUCACACGACCUACCAUCAUUUCAGGCAAACUUUUCCCACCAUCAAGUGGAUAAUAUGAUCCCCUUUAUAAAAUUAUUUACAACGAUGUUACCAUUUUAAACAAACAGACAGCAAUAGAUUAAUAAACACAUACAGGCAACGGGUGGAUAAUAUAAUGCUAUAGAAACUAAUUUUGAUAUAAUGACACAAGAAAUAAUAUAGAUGAUGAUAAAAAGACAUCACCAUUUUCUUAACCACAACCCAUUUAUGUGUUUGACACCCCAUUUAAUAACAUUAUCUCUCAGUUUCUUAUUAUUCUAAGCCCACAACCUCAGCCUGACUAUACCCAUUAGCAAUAUCAUCCAACUUUAUGAUAUUUGGAAAAAGAAAUUGCAUUAGCUAGUUGGAUUGAAUAACUAUCAAGAUGAAAGAAGGAAUUGUUCCUUCUAUUUCCGGAAGGGAUGUCAGUUACACUGUUAUAGAACACUACAACAUUGAAUUGAAGUGGUUCAAUAAGCUAAAGGGGGGAAUGGGACAAAUCAGAGUGCUUUUGUACCCAAGGAAAAGAAUUUCAAAUACUCUGUUGAACAUAGAAAUAGAAAAACAUUAAAAAGUAUGACAUACUCUGUUGAACAUAACAUACAUAAAGUUACGAACAAGAUGUUAUCAAAUACAGGGGCAUAUAUAACCGAAUAUGUAUGCAUAAGAAAUGGUUUUUCAUUGCCUGAACAGUCAACCUACAAUAAUAACAAAAGCCACUAAUCCAGAAAGGGAUGGCAAUUAAGUAGCAUUUUUUCUGUACCCCUCGGCCUUAUAACAGUAAUAAUAAUAUUAUAGAGAUAAUAUUAUCUGUACCAAAAUAAUAAUAUCAUGAUAGUAAAUAUCAUCAUAACAUUAUAGGACCUAUGAUCUAAGGCCCAUUAAAAUAGUGUGUAUAUAUGGUGAGAUCCUCAAGUAAAGUUUAACUGUUCAUGGUCAUUAUUGUUCUUAUUUUAAUAUAUUAAGUAAUAUCUGACUUUGAGCAUUGAAAUACCUUGGCAAGUAUCUCCUCUUGGCGCUUGGAGAAAGGUUUCGGACACAGACGCAGACUAAGGCUCGGCACAUCGAAGGAAAAUUACAGCCGUACCUCAGAGAGGUACAUUUUCUUACCUUAUCAGAAAGCUCAAAAGCAGUACUAGAUGCAACGUUUCCAACAGGCUGUCCAACCUGGUGCUAAAAUGACAAGCCAGGAGACAGACAGGUGCGGUAAUCAAAUUUUUAACCCAAACGAACUUCAUCUUUAAAACCGUCGAUUUCAUUUAAGAUUAUGUUACUAUACAGAUUUUAUGUCACAAGAGACCUGAAUUUUUUUUUAUUAAUUUUAUUUUACCAAAAUCUUACACCAAACCAGAAACUGGUCUAAAAUUUCCAUCUCCCCUUUAUUCUCUGCUUAUUGGGUUUACGCCACAGUUCAAGAGAUUACUAGAUGCAAUCUAUUACACAUUUCUGAAGUCUCAUUAUGUGAUUUAUCGCAAGUCACAAAAAGUAUGGAAUUACAGACUUUCUUAUCACACAACUCAAAACUUUCACGAUGGAUUAAUUGUCCUAUUUGGGGUUAAGCUUCAAAUAUAAGGAAUAUGACUUGGUUAACUAUUUCAAACUGCAGAGGCUAUUAGGUGAACAAAGAUUAGUAUAGUCCAGAGUUGAACAAUAAGACAUGGUAUGUUGGCUUGCGUUUGAUCCACAAAAUCUUGCUUUAGAAACAUUGAAGAAAAUAAAGAGCAAUAGAAGUGACAGUCCUGCAGGAGUUGGCUAUAUAAACACAAGAUCCCACAACAGUACUCAAUCACCUAACAUUAGAUCAAGGCAAAAUGGAAACAGGGAAUAAGAGAUUGUUUUAAAUAAGGUGGUUCUGCAGUAAAAUCUGGUUUUAUAUUAGGAGCUAUCUUCUGCAGAAUACGGUUGGAUUAGCCCGUAUUAAAUCAAAUAUAAGUAGUUAUCUCAUUGGCUCAAAACUUGAUUUUUCCUAUCCUGGCAUUAGAGUUUGAAGAGGACAUAAGGAAAAAAAAAAAAAAAAACCUAGCUUCUGGGAAAAUAUUUGUCAUUCUUAACAUUUUCUAUCCCAGUAAUGGAAAGUUACCAAGACAAUUUCAAUAAAAAGUUAAACUUUGCAACUAAUCCCUAUGGUAAGCUGUUAAAAAGUACUCAUUUAAUUUUUCUAGACCCUCUUUCCAACAAAAUGAUAUCACCAAAUUGAAGUAGUAACUGCAAAUUUCUAUCAAUUUUAUUAUUUUGUAACAAAUAGGCAUCAUAAUGCAAAGGAAAUGCGACAUCUGCUCGGAAAGAAAAAUAGAUACUUUCAUAGAUACGCUGGACAUAAAUGUUUAAAAGUAAAAUAGAAAACAUUUAAAAGCAUGAUCUUAACUAGAGAGGAAGGAAAGCUAAAGAGAAAAGGGAAGGGCAAAAGAGAAGGGAGAAGACUUUCCUCCAUCAAGUUUUGAUGUCUUGACCUCUUGCACAAGCAGUAAUUACCUCACAGCCUCUAUUAUAAGGAUUUGCUCGUAUUGCAUGACAAUUGUAGUAAGAAGCUCCAGCCCUAUCACAGGGAACCAUGUCUCUCUUGAGUGUGUCAUAGCUAAUGUACUUUUUCUGCAUUGCCAGAACUCUUCUGUUGGUCUCCGAAUCCAUCUCCGGCUCUGUCAAGCUCAAGCACUCCCCAAUGCUCUUGGUGCAAACCCUUUUGGUCAUAACAUCCACUUCAUGGAAAUUGAGGUCCACAAAUGGUAGGCCAGUGCAAGUGUGGAACAGAAAAAGGGUCAGACAGAGGGAGAUCAUGGAAAUGAAUCUGGGUUGGGACAUUGUUGUGUUUAGCUGCCUGGUGUCUUGUUUUGUUUUAAGUGCGAGAUGCUUGGUUUGGUUGUUGGAGGGCUAUAAAUUGGGGAUAGGACAUAGCAGGUGUUACAACUAUAGUCAACUAUUUUAGGGCCAUCAUUACUGUCAGCAACCCACAAUCAGAGAUAUCAUUACAUCCCGGAAUUAGUAUACAGUCACUCAAUUUCAUUAAUUUUCAGACUGCUUAGUAUUCUUAACCACGCAUCAAUGGUGGAUUAGUCAACUGAUUAAUGAAUCUUUCUCCGUGAACAAUUUUUUUGUCUCUUACUAUUCAAUAAAAUAUACUCUAGUAUAUACCCUACUAUAAUAUUGCCUUUCUUUUUUCAUUUUCUCCUAAAAUUAUAAUUGUCUUCAUUUAAUAUUUUUCAUUACCUUUAAACUUGAUAUUUAAAAAUAAAUUUUAAUCUUAAUUACCUAUACAUUUAGAGAUCUUCAUAAAUAGUGUAGCAAAUUAUUCUUCAUCCGUUCCUGAAAUAUAUUUGAAUUUCUUCCCUAUUAGCAACACAUAAGAAAUACAAGAGUACCUUUUUUUUUUUGCAUGGUCUCAUAUCACAGUCAAAAGUAAAUUUCUUUCUAUAUGUAAAAUUCUUUUAAUAAUUUUUUUUCAUACACUCCAAAGAAUAAUCGUUUUAUGACUCAAAAAAUACCACACAAGAAAAUAAAAUACAUUGAAAUAUGGACAAAACAAAAAGACAAACCUAAAUUAAAAUAACCUAUAGAUCUAACUAAAUUAUUGAGGACAGAAAGAGGGGGAUGAAAGGAUUUUCACAAGAGAAAAACGACAGUUUUACCGCGCCAAAAAAGGUUACGGAGAAUACUGAAACAAAAAGAAAAGAAAAAAUGGAGAAAGGAUGAGAAAAAGAUAAAGUUAAAAUGAAAUAGUUAAUAACAACAAAACAUUUGAGUAAAAAUAUGAGAAAAUUCAAAAUAUGUUAUAACAAAAAAAGCGUAAUAGACCUUCCUUUUCUUUUUCUUUUUUUACAGAUUAUUGUUAUUACUAUUAUUUAACAAGAGAUUUAACCUUUUCUAGAUCAAUAUGUCGACAAAAAGAAUAACGGGAAGAAGUGGAAAUGAAGCAAGUAAACUGAACAAGCAAAGAGCAUCCGCAUUUACCUACUUAAUUUUGCUGAAGAUAAAAUGAUGCAUUUCGGCCAAAGUUACCUUAUUUUAGUUUAGAGUGUGUUUAUUUUCAAAAAUAAAAUAAGUAGCUAUAAACCAUGAAUGAAUUACACUGGCAUCUGAAAUUUACAGAUCAUGGAGCUGUACAUCUCAGAAAAACAUUCAACCAAUAACGAAAUAUGAAGCUAUAUGUGUUUUGAACUUUGAAGUAGGUAACAAAUUCUGGUGUGUUCCUGUCUCUUCAAAUAUAUAAUGGCCUAAGACAAUCCUCGUUAUCAACGUAAAAAGAGUACGAUUGAAAUGAAAAUACCAUCAUGAUGCAUCUUGUUCAUUUUAUACAGUAGCACGGCUCAGAAGGUUAAUUGGUUGCUGAUGUCACCACAACUUUCCAUCAUAUUAUGGAAAUGGAAGUAAGAGUUAAUUAGUGAUAGAAUUAUUAUUUGUAAUGUGGUGAAAGUGAAACGAGAAAGGAUGGAAUAGAGAGACCGAGUGCAGAAGUGAGGGGCCAUUUGAGUGGCAAUCAAAAUGCAGAAUAAAAAAGAAUGCAUUCCGCUACAUUGUAUUCCAAUUCAAACUUCUACUACCCAUCAAGGCAAUUAUGUUUACAGCAACAUAUCCAAAACAUUUCCAGAUGAGCGCCCUUGAUCUUGGUGAGCAACAUGACAUGCAUUUGCUUUGUGGGUGGGGUGUUCCCAAAACACAUCAUUUACUCUAACUGGACCACUUGGGGGAGGUGCCUCGUUUACAUUUCCAAUUUGCCAAAUUCUGGACAUGAAUUUCUCUUGACUUGUAAUGGAGAAGAUGCCAGAGUUAGAUUUAAAAGGCAGGAUAUAUAACUGUCACUGAUAUCAUCACAAUUUGGGGGUCUCAGGAGCUGUGGCUGUUUCCAUGUUAAAACUAAAAGAUGCUCCAGUUUGAACUGAGUGUACUACAUGACACCACCAAGUUCAUAUCCGAAAGUGUGAGUUUAUUGGAGAAAUCUAGAUGAGAAAUUCCAUUCCAAAACUGUCAUGAACCUGAGGCAAUCGCCUUUACUUGUUAUAUGCCAACAAAAGUGGGAUUGUGAAGAGCCUUUUGAAAGAAAGUGAGCAAAUGUUUCUGCCUCUCCUCCAUGGCAUCCAAUCGCUGGAGAAGAGUGCUUGCGGCAGAUUGGUUUAUCCGAUUUAUUAAACGACUUAAUUAUGUUUCAAAUUUAUAUCAUGGUUUCUUGUUAAUUUAUUCAACUCACUGAAGCGUGUUAGAAAAAUUACAUUUUUUUCUCCGUGAUUUUGACUUGGACUAUCAGUUCCCACUGUAACGUGGGGUCUUCAAAACCUAACUGCCAUUUCAAGAAAAGGAAAGGGCCAUAUGAAGGCCCAACUUCUCUCUCUCUCUCCCGCCAGCCCCAAGUUUUUUUAAUCAUUUUUUGUGUCAAGUUGUUUUUUGUCAACGAGUUUUUUUUUCUUUUUUCGGCAUUUGCUAUUUUUCCUUUCCUUUUCAAUUUGUUUUCUAAAAAUGUUCUCUUUUGAAAAAUACAUUUCCCUAUUAACAUGUAAGCAAUUUCUUCCUGGAUUCUUUGUUGGUUAGAAUUGGAUGUUAUUUUUAUUUUAACCAUCACAUUAUACAAUUUCUUAUCGAGUUGUCUUAGCAAUUACUUUGAUUAAAGUAUUCUUAUCCACACCACCACCCGACCCUUAAAGUCUAACCAUUCUCACAGUGGGAUUUUCAAGUUUUGUCAUUAUAUCUUUCAUUGUGGAUUUUCUAGAACCAAAUUUUAUAUAGCAUUAGACAAAAAGGUGUCAUUUGAUAUUAAGUUCUCUAUAUAUGCAAAGAGGAGCAAGUGUCCCAAAGAAAAAGGAGUGUCACGGUUGGAUCUUCAAGUUUUGUCACUAUGUCUUUAAUCACAAGUUUUUUCCUAAAAUUAUUAAAGGGGGAAUGUAUUUUUUUUUUUAAAAAAGAUGAUAUUUUUGGAAAACAAAAUGAAUAGAGAAGUGUGUGAGAAGAGUGGGAGAGUGGAAAUAGUAACUUUCUAUUCUAUUUUAUUUUAUUAAAACCCCAAGUUUUUGAGCCAUCAGGUACAACCUCCUCUUUUUCGGCCUCAACAAUUAGAGAAAUUAUUAUAUGAUUGUUGUUGUGUUAUUGGUUUGGUUUUGAUUUUUGAAGGUUUUGUCAUGUCUCGAACCUAAGACCAUGAAUAUGGUGUUGCAACAAACAAAUUGCUACCCUUAGUUUUUACGCAUUCAUUUCCAUAUAUCUCAUUAGCAUCACCUUAUUGAUAAUUUUGUAGUUAUAAAUUUUUUACUUCAUGAUGCACUUGUUUAGUAAAAUUCUAUCUUUGUAAAAGUAUAUUAUAAUCAUGAAAUUUCCUUCAAACAAUAUAUAAAUGACAUAUGAAAAGUUUUAUUUGAUUACAUCGAAUCAUGAAUUGGUAAAUUGUAUCAUUUUGGAAGAGGAAACUCAAGUGUUUAAAAUACACGUCUUAAUAUAAUAAUGAGGACACAAAGAAUUAUUGACCAUAAUCUGCAAAGUCCAUGGCCCAAAAGGUUAAAUGUUGAGUUGUUACGUGUUACUCAUUUCAGUCAUUUGUUCACUAUUGAAAAUACCAUUUUUACUAGCGUUCAUCCUGAACUAAGAUUGGACUCUUCAUGAAAUUUAUAGUUACAUUACUUAUAACUUUCUUAUUCGUAGAGAAAGUUUAUUCGAAAUUCUCUUCUAUUCCAAAGCCUAAUAUUUGAUUGAAGCUCUUAUUUGAUUUAAUCAUUAAUAUCAUUAUUAUUUCUGAUUACAUUUUUCCUCCAAUAGUGUAUUCUUAUACAAUAUAUAAAUUAUCAUCCUUUGUCCACUUUUCACUAUACAAACAAAUAAAAUAAGUUAUUUGAUUCUAAACGUUCAUUUAAUUUCUUUGAAAUAAAAUAUUUGUAAAUUUUAUCAUUCUUGAUAUAUAAAACCCACCUAUAAUGUAUGAUUAUUUAAAUGAGUUGUUUAUAUUUAAAAUUUACAUAUCUUAUAAUAUCAUAUAAAUUUAAGAAUUUUGUACAAAAAUUUAUUCCAAUAUGAAAAUUACUAAAGUUUUUGUUUAAAUUAAUUUCUCAUUGUAUUUAUGCUAAUUGUUGGUUUGGAAAGUAUUUUUUAUUGAUAAAAAAUAGUUAAACAACAUUGUAUAAGAAAUGCCAUAUCAUAUAUUCUAUCGACAAUUUUUUGUUAAAUGUAUCUUAUUUGCAAGCAACUCUAUAAGUAACCACAUUGUAAUACUCUAUAAGCAACCAUGUAGGACUAUUAGAAAUGGCGUCCAAGCGUGACAUGAUUAAGAAUUAAACGGUAACAAUUGUACUUAUAGAAGUUGAUUUAAGAAUGUUUUUAAAUAUAACAAAUAAGGAUUAAAUAAAAAUAAAAAUAUAAGUUAACAAUCUAGGUAUAACUAUUGGAGAUGACAUGCAUGGUGAGAAGAGAAGUCGAAACAAAUAAGCGAUGGAAGAGGCACGUAUUGGCGCCGACAAGGUAACGGACGUUUGCAAUUCCGUGAGUCUUUAAAUUCAAAAAUGAUGAGAAUCAGAGGCUAAGCUUCAAUAAUGGAAAAGUGGUGCGUGAUCUCUCCAAGUUGCUACGAUAAUCAUCAUCUCUGCUUUGCAAUUUUCUUGUCCUUUCUCUUCUCCUCUUUGCUGUUAUCCUUUCAUGGUCCCAACCUCCCUUUCUUAGUGAAGCCAUCCAAGACCAUAAGUGUCACAGAUUCCUGCAUUGGCCGCUAUGUUUACAUUCACCAACUCCCCUCCCGCUUCAACAAUUACUUUCUUAAGAAUUGCCAGUUCCUUACUAGAGGCACUGACAAACCCAACAUGUGUCCUUACAUGCUUAACAUGGGUUUAGGCCCUCAGAUUCCUAACUCUCAAGGUCUUUUCUCCAACAACACUUGCUAUGCCACCAACCAGUUCUUGUUGGAGGUUAUUUUUCACAACAGGAUGAGCCAAUACGCCUGCUUGACCAACGAUUCCUCCCUCGCCUCUGCCAUUUUUGUCCCCUUCUAUGCUGGUCUUGAUGUUAGCCGUUUCCUUUGGCUCUCUAAUCUUACCGAGAGAGAUUCCUCUGGUCGUGAUCUUCUUCAAUGGCUUGCAAAAAGACCCGAGUGGAAGAAAAUGCGGGGUAGAGACCAUUUCCUUGUUUCAGGGAGGAUUGCUUGGGAUUUCAGGAGACAAUACGAUGAUGAGUCCUAUUGGGGUAGUAAGUUCAGGUUUCUACCCGAAUCCAUGAACAUGUCCAUGUUAGCAGUUGAAGCAAGUUCGUGGAAUAAUGACUAUGCAAUACCCUACCCAACUUCUUUCCACCCAUCAGAGGACACUCAUGUUUUCCAGUGGCAGAGAAAAAUCAGACAUCAAAAGCGGCCAUACUUGUUCACUUUCACGGGAGCUCCAAGGCCUGAGCUUGAAGGUUCUAUCAGGGGUAAGAUUAUAGACCAGUGUCGAGCUUCGAGUGUUUGCAAAUUCGUUGAUUGCAGCUAUGGUGUUCAGAGAUGUGACGACCCCAUCAGUGUUAUAAAGGUGUUUGGAAGUUCUGUGUUCUGUUUGCAGCCUCCGGGUGACUCAUACACCAGAAGGUCCAUUUUUGAUUCCAUGUUGGCUGGUUGUGUUCCCGUUUUCUUUCAUCCAGGUACUGCUUAUUCGCAGUACAAGUGGCAUUUACCGAAGAAUAGGACUAAGUACUCUGUGUAUAUACCAGUGAAGGAUGUAAAACAAUGGAAUGUCAAUGUGGAGCAGGUGUUGCGGGGAAUUCCGGAGGGUGAGGUGUUUGCAAUGAGAGAGGAGGUCAUAAAGCUGGUUCCAAAUAUUAUCUAUGCAGAUCCUAGGUCAAAGUUAGAUUGCUUUACAGAUGCGUUUGAUUUAGCAGUAAAAGGAAUGGUUGAAAGGAUAGAGAAGGUGAGGGAAGAAAUGAGGAGUGGGAGAGAUCCUAGCAUUGGUUUUGCAGAUGAAGACCAUUAUAAGUAUACAUUUUCACAAAAUUAAAGCUAAAAGGAAGACAUAUCAUGUUAUAGUGCAAUAUCGUUACCUUCAGAGAAUCCCUUGUGACACUUUUAUUUUUAUUUUUUUGGUGUUCUUGCUUUUCUGGUUUACUUUUGAUUUUGGUUUGUUCUUGGCCUACAAAGAAGUGAAGAAAAAUGUUUGUAACUUGUGAAAAGAAAGACAGACAAGCAACAAAAGUAGUAUGGUCUGAUGCCAUCAAACCAAGCAAAUAACAGUCCUGGGGAUGGCUAGUUAAUUUUAUUAUUAUCUUAAAACUGAUUGAGUUGCUAGAAUUUGUUUGGCGUGCCGACAGUGUAACUGGUAUUGAAAGACAUGGGCAUGGGAUGCAUGUGAGGUUGAUGAAAUUUCCAGUUAUAACGUUUAGACAUAGUCACAGUCAGAGUCAUAAAAGAAGUAGACCCCAUUUGAUUCCAAGCCCCGUAUCACCGCCUGCAAUCAAGGUCCCAUUCCACCAUUAAUUGACUCAAUAGUCUUUUUUUUCUAUAAAGGGUCACGCAGUCCAAUUUCCUUUCCGAAAACAAUGUCACCUAGUCAAAGUUACUCCAUUCACUCCUUCCGCUUAACAAAAGUAAGAAAGAGGAAUCAGAUGUAUUAUUAAUUUCAUUUUUAUAUUAUUUAAUUUACUUUUUAAUUUUUUUAUAAAUAAAUCAAUUUGAUUUUUAUUUUUUUAAAUAAUUCAAUCUGGUGCUCAAGUCUUUCAAAUCUUGGGAUCAAAUUGAUUCUUUUUAAGAAUUUGAGAAGUAAAUUUAACCUUUUAAAAUUUUGAAGAUCAAAUUGAUUCAUUUUUAAGAAUUUGAAAAUCAAAUGGAACUUUUUAAAAAUUUAGGGAUUAAAUUGAUAAUUAAGACUUUUAAUUUCAAUAAAUAUAAUUUAGUUUUAGUUUUUCAUUUUAAAAAUUUUUGCUUUUACAAAUUCAAAUUUUAAAAUAUUCUUUAUUUUAUUAAUAAUAUUAACAAAUAAACAUUUUAUCAUCUUAUGACAUAUAUUGCCUUAAAAUGAUUGUAGAUAAUAAUUACCAAGAACUUUAGCCUGUAUUUAUUUUGUUUUACAUAAUUACAAUUUAUAACUAAUUAAAUAUUGGUGAUAUAUAAAUUAUAUUAUAGUUAAAAUUCAUAAUAAAUAAAUAUUUUAAUAUAAAAUUAUAUCUUAGAUUUAUAAUAAAUAUUUUAAAUUAUAAAUUAUAUCAAAAUAUUAUUAUAAAAAUGUUUUGUUAUAUAGGCAAAUGUAUUAACUCUUUAUUGAGUGAACAUAAAUUUUGCAAUAAUUUCUUCCUCGAUUGCAACAUGUCUUUUAUUGCCUCUAUUAUAAACAUCAGUAUUCAGAAUUAUUCACUCACCAAUGAAAAUGUGUGAGUUAUAAAAUGUACCUCUUAUUUCUUCUUUCUUUUUUUUUUUUAUAGCAAAUGUGCCUCUUACUUAAAAUUAUAAAAUAAACGCAUAAAUUAUUACUUCAAAAUAUUACAAAAAUCAAAGUCAUCAAGACUGUUAUUUAUUCUAUAUUGGUUCGAAAUUAAAUAUCAUUAUCAUUUAAUGUAAUGCAAUGACUUUUAUAUAGGACAAAAAACUUACAAAACAAAUAUUUAUUGUCAUAGUUAAAUGUUCUAAUUGAUCAAUAUCUGAUAAUUAAAACUGUCAAAAAACUAUAAAACAACAUAUAUUGUCAUAAUGAAAUUUUGUAAUUGGAAAAUGAAUAUCAAUAUCAGGUCAUUAUAAUUUAACGACAAAAUUUAUGGAAAAAAACUAAUAAAAAGAAAAUUAAAAGAAUCAGAAACACAAAACCAAUUUUACAAACGUUUUUAAGUUCACGUGGAGCAGCCCGACCCAAAAUUCAUUUAUGAGCUUUGAAAACAUUCUCAAAGCCCAAAAGGCAAAGACAAACUCUGGACUUCGGAGGAAAAAUAGUUGUUUAAAAACCAGAGAAAAAGGAGAGUGAAAAAAAAAAAAAAAACGUUAGCGAGAGGAGGAAGAAGUGUGAAAAAAUGGCGGCGGCUGCGAACUCUGAGGUCUCAACGAGUGACUCCUUGUUCUUCACUUUCACCUCAAUUCAAUCCUUUUAACUUAUUUUGCUGUGGCAGGGCAAUGCUCAGAAACCGAGUUCGGAAACGUUUCAGUUAUUCUCUUCCUCCGCUUCCGCCUUCGGAAUCUUCGACGAUGCUGCGCAACAAGUUCCUCCUAUACCUCCUCCUCCCUGCGUUGAAGUCCUCGCUUCUGAGGUAUUAUUCCUUCGCCAUUCAUCAUUCUUCUUUCAAACACUGCCGUUUUCAAUAUUCCUUCCUAAUUAGGUUCCUUCAUCCCUCAAACACAACGUGGACUCUGUAAAUUUAGAUGGAGUUAUUUUGUUAAAGGUAAUGCUUCUUUCUUUGUCUUCGAAUUUUUUCAUUAUUUGAAUUGAGAUUAUUGUUUAGUUUUAUCCUUUAUAUUGUUUUUAUGGACAACAAUUCUCAGGGGCGGGUGAAUACCCAGCAAGUUUUUGGUUUGUCCAACUCCGAUUUAGUUCCCGGGAAAUAUGAAGGUGCUGCCAUUUUCUGUUUAUUCACCCAUUCCCAUCUCGUUCAUGACUAAAUCAGUUGCUGCAACUUUGGUUUCCUUUGGUCUAGGAGGACUUAAGCUGUGGGAAGGUUCACUUGAUCUAAUUAAAGCCCUUCGUUCAGAUAUAAAAAAUGGGCUUAUCUCAUUUGCUGGGAAGCGAGUAUUAGAGGUGGGCCUCUCUUUUUCCUGCUGAUUUUGUAUUUGUCUGUAUGAUUGACUGAUAAAUGACGGGCUGUUUAGUAGUAUAACUUAUUGGAAUUGGGUUUGAGUAGAAAAUCUAAAUUCAUACAUGGAAGCACAGUAGCUAGUAUGGAUAGAUGUAGUUUAUAUAUAGUGGUAUGAGGACAAAUGUUCUUUUUAUACCGGAGAUAAAAUUGCAUUCAGAACUUGCACAGCCAAAGGUGUGCAAUUGUUGAUAUAGCUGUUAGAGUGGAAUGUCGGGCAUAAUUGUUCACAUAGAAAGAAGAUACACAUUGCAUGAACCACGUGCCUGCAUCUUGCACAGCACAUUUGAAACGGUUUCUUAUCAAUAUUUUCCACUACACUUAACAUGGACAUUAACAUCACCAAUGUGUGUGGGUCUUCUUACCUGCUCCAUAGCACGUCAGUUGAUAGAAAAGUCAUAUUCAAAGGAUCCUGAUCUUGCAUUUACUGAAACUGAGACACACAUACACACACACACAUAUAUAUAUAAAUUGUAGUAGAAAAGCUGUCCGUCUAUCUCAGUUUCAAGCUUUCAAUAUUUGAUUUUCAGGUAGGAUGUGGUCAUGGACUGCCCGGAAUCUUUGCAUUUCUUGAGGUGAAACUAUGGUUCAUUGGCUUUGCUUUAGAUCCUUAACUUUGAAAUAUAUAAUAAUGUGCUUAUUAUGGUUGCUUUAGGGGGCAGCUGCUGUACAUUUUCAAGACUUCAAUGCUGAGGUCCUACGUUGCCUCACAAUUCCUAAUUUAAAAGCAAAUCUUUCUGGAGAAUCUCAACCAUCAUCAUCCAACUCGACAAUUUGUGACGAGGCAGAAGUUCGCUUUUUUGCUGGCGACUGGAGUGGAAUUGAUAAACUGCUCCCUCAUGUUACUACAGAUGCAAAACAUAAUCAAGGUGAUGGUUAUGACUUUAUUCUUAUGGCAGAGACAGUUUACUCAAUCAACAGUCUCCAAAAUCUCUAUAAUCUUAUCAAGAAGGUAUUUUUUUGUUCAUAGACAAGAGCAAAAUUUUAUUUCUAUGUUGAUUCAUUGCAUUUUAAAUUAGUACAUUUAUCUGUGUAUUAUAAUGUAUAUUUUUAAUUAUAAAAAUAUUGGUUUGCUUAUCUAUUGAAGUGUUUAAUACACAGUGCUUGCAACAUCCUGAUGGAGUAGUGUAUAUGGCAGCAAAGAAGUAUUAUUUUGGAGUAGGUGGUGGAACUCGGCGGUUUCUGUCUGUGGUAGAGAAGGAUGGUGAGCUAGUACUGACAUAUGCAAUUAUAUUCAUGCUGGAUUGUUAUUCUGAUUCGCUGUAUGUUAUGUGCUUAGAAGUUGCAUAAUAAAAAGUGAUACCCUUGAUAUGCAAACAACUUUGUAGUAAUAACAUAAACAUACUGAUCCUUUUAACAUAUUUGUUCUCCACUAUAAGCUAUUGACACACACACACACAACGAUAAUUGUCCUACCUGUUAGCUGGAACCUUAAUUACAGAACCAUGGUGAGCUAGUACUGACAUAUGCAAUUAUAUUCAUGCUGGAUUGUUAUUCUGAUUCGCUGUAUGUUAUGUGCUUAGAAGUUGCAUAAUAAAAAGUGAUACCCUUGAUAUGCAAACAACUUUGUAGUAAUAACAUAAACAUACUGAUCCUUUUAACAUAUUUGUUCUCCACUAUAAGCUAUUGACACACACACACACAACAAUAAUUGUCCUACCUGUUAGCUGGAACCUUAAUUACAGAACCAUGUGUUCCAUGCCAGAUGGGAGUCAUAAAAUGCUUGGUCACGUUUAUGCAAUGUGAACUAUAAAGAAUAUAAUUUCAUCCUUAUGAAAUUUGAUGCCAGUUUAUUUUUCUUUUCUUUUACCAGACAAUGUACUGUUCUCAUGGUAUCAUAAUUGCCCUUUAUUUGUACAGGUGUCAUGACUAGUAGCCUGGUUGCUGAAAUCACAGAUGGUUCAUCUAAUGUUCGUGAAGUAUGGAAGCUUGCAUACAAGUAGUAUUAGUAUUUUCUUCCUUCACCAGUCAAACUAUCCUCGGUUUAUUUGCUCGUGAUUGCCCAUGCAUGAAAAGGGGGCUGUUGGAAGGGUGGCGAUGGGUUGAUCAUUCAUGUCGGAUGAGUUUUGGUAAUGGUUGUAGAAACCGUAUGGUCAGGAGAGAAUCUUGCCCCUCAUUUCAAGCUAUACUUCUCUCUCUGCUUAUAGUGGGCUUGGUUUUCUUGGUCAAAUGUAUUUUCUAGUUGGUAAUGCAAAUAUAUAUAAUUUUCUCAUUUGUAUUUAUUUUGAUUUGAUUCCCAGUAGGAUAAUGUUUUGUUGUUGUUGUUGUUGUGGUACCUAUUUUGAUUGGAUGUAAUGCAUUGCUAGAGCUAAACCCCGUAGCAGAUAUUAAGGAAUCAAAGAAUGAUCAUGAAAUGAGAGAAGUAACAGGAAAUUUGUCCUAUAAUUUUAAAUUCCAAAGCUCCGAUAACAACAGAAAGAUUAUAAGUGAAUCCAAGGGUUUUUAUAUGAAGCUGCAGAAAAGAAAAAGUCAGAACUGCAACUGACAACAGACAGAUUAUAUGUGAAUUCAACAAUCUUAAAAGAUAUAGUUGAUAGGAUGGGCUAGAGAGACAAAUAGGUGGCUUUUAAAGAGUAGGUAAUUUAGAUGUCAUCCUUUUGAUAUUAGUUAGUUUUAUUUUAAUUUCAAAAGGAUAAUUAUCUAAAUUAUCUGCUCUUUAAAAGCUACCUAUUUGGGCCUCUCUAGGCCCAUCCUAUCAUUAGUCAAGAGUCAGACCCCUACAACAUAAUAUUUGGAGCAGCCUCUGUUUGGAGGGUUUGAUGGGGGAGGAAGACACCCUUCACUUUUGCUGUAAGCAUCACCGAGGGCGCCACCAUUACAUACUGCUUUAUCUCUCUCGAGAGCCACUUUGGAAAUGUACUCCUCCAGAAACCUUUGGCUUAUUUCUGAUUCCAUCAGUAGCUCAUCUUGAUUGCAUUCGGCUAUGGAACCAUUCUGUGUUUGAAUGUCUUGUCACUCUUUCCUAAUUUAAUUGUGAGACUCAUUAAAAUUUGUAAUUUUUAGUAAAUUGUAGUCGUAAAAAGAAUAUUAAGAUGAGAGUAUUAGAAAGAAUGAUCCUUAAGUUCUUCGAUUUUAUCACGUUAUGAGGUGUAAUUGUAGGUAUCGUUUACCAAAUUACUACUAUAAACAAGGAUUUGAAGGCUCGGGGCACAUUUUCCACUUAUCUUUAUCAGUCAACGAAGUUUAAAUACAAUUAAAUGCUUAUUCUUUUCGAUUUCUUCUCAGUAAUAAUGAAACGAGGACAAAACUUCAAUCCCAUUCAUGUCAAUAUCAAACCAACUUAUUCCACACUGCACUCAAUGAACAUUCGCCAAGAUUGCUACUAAUAUUGAUUUUUAAUUAGUGUGUUUCCAAAUUAUUUUUUUCCUCUCUUCAUUUUUUAUACUUACAAAUAAUAUUAUAAGUUUGAAGAUGACAUUUCAUAGCACAGAAAAAUUCUAACAUGGCAAUAAUUAAUGCAUAACCGUAGACAGAAAUUAGUACAUGUUCAGCUUCAAGGAUCAUCCAAAAAAUAAAGUUAUGCAAUACUUAUAUAAUUCACCUAGCUGGCGCAAAGAAAAAGAACAUGCUGUUAGAACUUUUAAAUUGUCUACAAAUUAUAGUAGUAGGAUAAGUACUGUUGUUAAAUAGUAAUAUCGCUUAUUUCUCUCCCCCUUCUCUAAUUGGUUUUUAUCUGGAUUAAACGGGCAUGGACCAAUUUGUUCACACACGUAUUAAUAAGUUGAUUGUAACCACAAAGGUAGAAAUACAACACUAGACAAAGAGGUUUCUAAGAUGAGCUUAAUAUAUUUAUGCAAUUGCAAACUGUCUUCAAAAAGUUGAAGAUUCACAAGAGCAUUAUUUAUAGCAUAGUAGCUCAUUACAACCAUAUGACAGAUCCGUUUAUUAAAGGGAAAUAAUGACACGUAUGUUUAAAUCCAUAUAUCUGAAGUACAGUCACCACCAGGAUAUCUCAUCUCAUGGGCAAGAGAAGGACCAUCAGGCUCAGUUCCAAAGUCCACAAAGAAGUUGGGGUUGAUUUUCAGUCCACCUUUCUCAGUAUCAACAUCAAUCUGUAUUAUGUGGGAGCCUUUCUGGACAAGCUCUGGAUAAAAUUGUUUGUCCCAAGUACUAAAUAGUGAGUUGGUAGCAUAGAGCCGCUUCCCAUCUAAACUCAAUUGAAUCAUCUGAGGGCCCCCUCUCAACUUGUUUCCCUGAAAAAGGAAUGUUAACAUCAGCCACUGACGAGAUAGAUACCCUUGAAUGUCAAAAGAAUAAAUCCAUGCAUCAGAUAUAAUAAUAUUGGUGUUCCAAUAAAACAAGAGUCUGCAUGCAUACGUGGGCAGAUGCCAUUGCUCAGUUGGACAUAUUGACUAACUACAUGAAGACAAUACAAAAGAUGAACAUGAAGUGGCUGCUGAACUACCUUUGCAUGUUUACAAACUGAGUAAAAUUUUGAUAAACAGAAUCAAAACUAGAGUGCAAGUGUAGUCCUAUGGUUGUCAAUCAAAAUGUGUAGAAGAAUCAAUCAAUUCACUUGGCAUGCUUUGCUAAGAAAUCAUUCGUGUAGGCAUAUUAAGUGUAAUUUUGCUCUUUAAAGUCAAUGACUACUAAGCAUUAUUAUUAGAAGUAACAUUUCACUCCCCUCCAUUUUCAAUUCACUCUACUGAGCCAAAAACCUUGACUUCUAUUUUGACGAAUUUGUUUGUAUUUUUCCAAUAACUAAUUAAUUUAUGACAUGUAUUAUGCAAUAAGUUACUGUAGGGAACUUCAAAUUGCAAUAACCUGAAUCUCUGGAACUUCAGCUUGCCAUGUUUCACCAUCAUCAGUUAUAGCUACUACAGGGCUUCCUUUCUGGAUAAGUCCACCAACCCAUACUUGUCCAGUCAGUUUAGGAUUUUUAACGUCCUCGAUGUUAUACUGCCUUAUAUCCCCAUGAAGCCAGUUUACAAAAUACAGAAACCGAUCAUCAAGAGAAAUCAGAAAAUCAGUUAUAAGCCCAGGCAUUUCAGGAAGAAUCCAGUUUUGCACUUUCAAUGGUUUCACUGAUAUGGCAACCUGCAAAAGUAAGCUUAGUCUAUAAGUAUCAUUGAUAUAUACAUACACCUUGGUUGAAGUACAUAUACUGACCAAAACAGAAUAGAUAUUAAAUAUCCUUUUGAUAUACCUCAUGGCUCCAUGAUUCAUCUUGGGUCUUAAAAAAUCGUAUCAUGUUACUUGUCAAUGCACUGCCGACAAAACCUGUAUCUUUAGCAGGAUCAUGCAAAAACCUUAUCUGCAUUUAGGGUACAUCAGUUAUAAAAUAUUGCAAUUUUGCAAAUUGGUUCACAAUUACCACAAGCGAGAGGAAAGGGGGAAAGUACUUAGUACAGUCAUAGUUAAAUCACACGGGUAAUAAACAGGCUUCAAAUACACAAAGUUAAAAGGAUAAAAUAAAUGCAUCUUAAACAUCUACCCGGAUUAUGUUAACAACUUACCUCUAAGGGUAUAAGCCCUGAAUCACCAAGGUCCAUUGUUUGUCUCAGUUCGCCCCCAGGCCAGCUAUAUACAUGGAGAUGCCUCCCGUAUAAUCCAUCAGAGAGAUGCUGUAAGUUAAAACCUUUUGUAAAAGCACUAGGAGCACCCCAUGAUGUGCUAAUCAUGGUAUUGUGACGUGGUUGGUACCAAAAGUCAUACCCAAAUAGUGGGCUGUGACCCGGUUUCUCCCACCUAAUCAAUGUGAAGUAGGAUACAAUAUAAUAUAAUUAGAAAAUUAGAUAUCGAAAUACUAACUACGUAAGUAGUUUCAAAUAGAAUUGUUUCUGGCCAAUGAUGUAACACGUGUAAUGUUCAACGCACAAGCAAUUAUUAAACGAUUCUGUGUUAACAGUUUUACAAAACUCUGGCUUCUAGAUGAGUACCUUCCCUUCACAUUAAACUCAGAAUCAAGAAGAAGAAAUCCAUUUCCUGCAGCAUUUCCAUCUUUAUCUCCAAGACACGAGAUCAUUAUAUCACCAGAAGCAAGGCAGUGAGAUGUGUGUGGAUAAGCUAAUCCAGUCUUCUGUAUGAUAUCGGCAGGCUCGACAACUUUGUGCAAAGAUGGAGCCCUUGGAUUUGUUUUCACAUCAACCACAUAUACUCGACCUGAUCUGAUAUAUGAUAAAAUAAAAUAAAAUAAAAAAGUAGACUGUAUUAGGUAAUUUAAAAAUGGAGGAAAGAAAAAAAAAAGUAACUAGAAUAAAGUUGAUAGAUAUCUUUCUUUAGAGUUCUUGCAAUACACAAAGUGGGCAAAACAUAUAUUUGUUAGGGGAAAAUGGAGAAGACAGAAAAAAAAUCACCAUGACAGGGGCACAAGUAAGAUUUUGGCCAGCUUGUUGUAACAUUAUUAUUCUUUUGACACAUUCUUUGAUGUUUCCAAGUUUUUCGGUUUCAUAUUGAUAUAUUAACCCGUGUGAUUAUAUAUACUCUCUUUCUGAUAAACUUUAUAAAAGUAUGAAUGAAAUGUCCUUUUAGAUUUAUAUAGUUGAGUUGAGGGAAGGUAAGGAUUACACACACGAGUGCAGGUACGAUGAGAAAUCGUCGGUCUGCUGAGGGGUCUCCAUGGCAAGAGCUGCAUGAAUUCCAGCCUGUGUGAUGCAAUUCGUCACCUAAAUAAGGAACAGGAAGCCUAUGGAUGACUUUGGAAUAAGUUGGAGAGUUUGGAUCCACAUCCACUGUCGCCAAAUAGUCUGGCUUCUCUAUUCCGGUCCCUGUAUUGUAUUCAAUCAUUAAUCAACAACUAAAUCACAAAGUAGCACACUUAAAGAAAUUACCCAAAGUUCCAACUGAUUAAUAUUAAUAUAUUAUAAUCAUAAAAGAUAUAUAUAUGAAACUCUGAGCUAGCGAAUAAUUUAAUUAACUGACCAAAGUUCAGUUCAGUCCACUACUAUAGUACAAAAAAAAAAAAGAAGGAUAUUUGACCAUGUGAUAUGUGAUAAACUAAAGUGCGAAUGUUCCAGAGAUUCAGAAGUAAGGAAAAAGAAAAGAUGUAGAGAGGUAGUACCUGUGUAGACAGAGGUUACAUAAAUGAGAGACUCUCUGGGACCAGAAAUGGCUUCCAGUGGGGAAGCAUAGCCUGGCCCUGAUUUGCAACAUCCAUGACCAUUACUACUCACCUUCCCUUCUCCCACCGUACUCAUUCUCUCUGUCUCUGUGAGAUUCAGGACCUUGGCCUUUUUAACUUUUAAGAAGAUGAUGAAUGAUUCAGAUAGGAUUGCAGUAGUGAGAACAUUUUGAUAUGUAUUGAGUCAGCAAUAUGAUCUUGGUACGUAUUCGUAUAGAAUCAUGUCCAGGUUGGAUGUAUCACAAAUCUCCAUAACGCCUCACCUUGGGCCGUUCAUCUCUUGACACCUGUCUCUUUCUUAUUAUCUUGUUUCUUACUUUAGACUUUUCGCGCUGUCAGGAUUGUGUGAUCCGGUUAACCUUUUGCUUGGAAAGAUCCUGUUAUUGAUAUAUAUUUCUUUUAAACAGUUAUUGAUAAGUUGUUUUAAAAAAGAGAAAAAGAGUUAUAUAUAUUGUAAAAAAAUUUACACAAACAUUCAAUCAAUUAUAACUUAAAUUUAUUGAUUUUAAAAACAUUUAUCUUAAAAUAAUUUAAAUGAUAAUUUGUAUGGUUGGAUGAUAAUACAUAGACAUUCAACUCUUAAAAAAAUAUUAAAAUUAGAACUAAUGAUAUUAAAAAUAUAGAUUUAAAAAACUCAAUUUUGAUAUUAAAAGUAUAAGAGAAUGUAUUAGAUGAAUGUUAAAAACUUAUUUGAAUAUUAAAGAUAAAAUAAAUAUUUAGAAUUACUUUUAAUAUUCAGUUUAAGUUAAUAUUAAAAAUAUAAGAGAAUAUAUAUUUUACAUAUUAAGAUUGUAUUUGAAUUUUGAAAAUAAAAUAUAUAUUUUUUAAUAUUCAGUUACAUUUAAACGGUUCAUUUGAUAUUUAAAGGACAUAAAGAUAUAUCAAAUGCGUGUUAAGAAAAUGAAGUCCACCAACUUCUUGAGAAAAGAGUAUUUAUAUUAGAAUGAAUGCAUGGAAGAGUAAUGCAAUGAGAGUCUUAUCGUAUAUAUAUAUAUAUAUAUUAAUAAACAUAAUAAAUAUUUACUACGUUCAAUGUUUAUAAUAAUAUUUAUUAAAUAUACUCUCUCAAUCUCAUUUUACAAAAUCCUUUUAACUCAUUUAUAUCUUUUAAGAGACUGAUUACUUUAAUUAAUAAUAUUAAAUUUGUAAAUAAUUUGUAAUGUUAUUUUCAAAUUAUCCUUAAUUUUUAAAAAUAAAUUAUCUUUCUCUCACAUAAUUGUUUCAAACCUAAUUGAUACAUAUUCUCUCUGAUCUUAGUAAAAGCGAAGAGAGUUUCUAUAGGAUUUGAUUUUUAUUAGCUAAAAAAAUUGUUAAUUAAUUAAGUCUCUUAAAAAAGAACAAGUUUUUUUGGAAAAAAAAGUCUUAUAAAAAGUAAUUGUGGGAAUAUUUAUUAAAAUAUGUAUAUUUAAUAUUAAAUGUAAUUAAUAAUAUAUAAGUAUUUAUAAAAUACUUUGAUACUAAAAAAUACCGUAAUAAAUAUAUUUAACAUUUGUCUAUAAAGCAAGGGCACCAAAUUAAAAUUUAGUAUUAAAAUUACAUAAUCAUGAAAUUCAAAAUAAUUAAAAUUAAAUAAUUAUAAAACUUGACACCAGAUCACACAUGUCAAAUUAACCAUUAUGUUAGAUGAUGUUAUGUUGAUUAUCAUAUAUAAGUGUCAAGUCAUGUGAUAUCAAUUCAUUUGUUAUAUUAGUAAAUAUUGAUCGAUAAAAAGAUUAAAAUUAUAUAUUUAUGAAUGUAACACUUAAAGAAUAAAAAAUUAUCAUUUAAUAUUAUUAGAACAUGAAGAUUUAAAAUUAUACAUUUAUGAUAUUUAAAAACUUUAUUAUUUUUGUUUUGGUAUAUAAUAUUUGUUUUUUCUUUUGCAUCAUCAUCAAAGUUAAUUUGUAAGUAUUCAUAAUUCACUUUUUUUUAUCUUACAUUACUUUUUAUCUCAUUCAUUUAAGUUUUUAAAUUUAAGAAAUAAUAAUAUUGUAUAAUAGUAUAACUAUAUAGUCCAUACGUAUUAUUAUUUGUAAUUUUCAGGUUACAUAUGCGAAUAUCUGGAUCACGGACUAAUUUACAUAAUGAGAAUACCAACUUCAGAGAACUAAAGUCAUACAUUUAUAAUACAAGAGGAGUUGAAUUGCAAUUAAAUCUAACUCUUUUAGUUAUUCAAUGAAAAAAUUAAAGUAACUUUCAUAUGACGGUCUAUUAUUAGAGUACAAUCCCUUGCACUUUGUUUUGUAAACAAAUUUUGCUUAUAAAAAGCAUACUUCUUCUCUGGCACUUAUGUUACUCUUAUUAGUUAUUGACAGAUAUUUAAAUACAUUUAUACAAUUUUAUUAUUUCCUUAGUUGCAGAUUGAACUUAAGACGUUAAAUUCAAUCCUUGUCUCUUAUCAUUGAAAACAUCAUAAAGACGACUAGUUUAAUUUAAUGAAGUUCUUUGACGAUGUAUACUCAUUAGAAAGAUAAGGAUGAAAUAAUAAUUACUAUGAUAGGACGAGAGCUGUUUGAUAUGAUUCUGUUCAAAAUAAGAAAGUUAAGCCUUUUUUUAUCCACAAAUAUUAAAUUAUUAAAACGAUAAUUUUUGUUAGCAAAAAGGAGAUUGAACUCAUGGUAUUUUUCUUCUUCGGCUUUCUCCUAAACUAUUCAAGAUAAGAAAUAAGAUAAUAACAUAAAAACUAAUUAGUUUUUUAUUCGACCAAGAAGAAAACAUGUUGGGUUGAAUUGUAGUGUCGUGUCGAGAUGGGCUUCACGAAAGAUUUUUCAAAGCAAACAGACAACAAUUGAAAUGUACGUGUAACUGUAUGAAUACUUAGGAUAGUUGGAUUUGAUAUCGCAAAUGUCUUGAGUCAGUUAAGUGGAUAUGUAUUGAGAUAGAAUUUGGUGGUUUGAAUUUUAAUUAAGCGAGUUCAAAGGUAAUUUUGUCCUUAAAAUAAUAAAUUUUCUUUUUUACGUUAUGCAUUGUAAUUUGAAAAUGUCUAUUUUUAAUAUAUAACUGAAAUUGUGUAUUAAAUUUCACAAUUAAAUAUUUUUUUAUCAAUUAUCUUGACAUACUCAAAGGCUUUAAUGCUCAAGAAAAGUGUAAUUUGUUCAGAGUAUAAAUUUCACACGUUUAUUAUAAUUUUUUUGUGUUCGACUAUAAAUUUUUAAGAGUAUGUUUAUGUAAAAGAUUUAAUAAAUUAUUUUGUAUCAUAAUCAACUUCUAUGGCUGUUAGUACCAACUUAAUGGAUGCUAGUAUAUGUUAAAUUUUUUUAUUUAUUCUCUUUAAUGAUUUAAUUAUUUUAAAAUACUAAAUAUUUAAAUAUAAAUUAAAAAAUAGAUUAUACAUUGAUGGGAUAAAGUAAUUUUACAUAUAUUUAAUCACAAAUUAUUAUAUAUGUUAAAUUUAUUAUUGUUUUAAUAAUUUUUAAAAAAUUACAUUAAUAGUUAUUUUUUAUUGAUGGAACGUGUAAAACUAUUUUACACUGAUAAUAAUGUAUAAUUAUUUUAAAUACAUGUAUUUUCACGAUGUCGAAUAUGUACUUUUAAUUUCAUAUUUUUUUCAUUAUAACUCUUUAACUUGUUUUUAAAGAAAGUAUACAUUUUUAAUAAAUUGUUUAAAUAUCAAAAUAGUUUCUAUUUUUUAAAUAUUAAACAAUUUUUAAUCUAAUAUGCUCGCUAGAUUGUGACUUGGAAAAAGAAGAUUUAACCAAAAAGUAUUGUAAGUAUGAAUUAUAUAGUAAUGUUAUAUUUGAAUCAAUAGAUAUCUUUAGGCCAGUAACCCAAUAAGAAUUAGGAGGAUAUAUAACCUCUCAGUCUCAAAUGCAUACGGGCAGAGAGAUUUGAAACAGUGGUGAUAGACGACAUUAGAUGUUGAUGGUGUGUAUAGUGCAGAUCCUAGAAAAGGUUUGUUAUGUGAUGAUGCUUUUGCUUUGUUUUAUGUUCUACACUUCUACAGCCUUAGUGUGGGUUUAAUUUAGUAUAGAUAUAUUCUGCAGUUGGUGAUGCUGUGAUUUUGAAGACACUGUCUUAUCAAGAAGCAUGGGAAAUGGUAAGUUGAUUCUGGAAAGUGUCAAAGCUAGUUGUGACAAUAAAAUUCAGGAGACUAACUUUCAAACUACCUCUUUCGCAGUCUUAUUUUGGUGCCAAUGUCUUGCAUCCACGCACAAUAAUUCCAGUUAUUAGAUAUGGCAUUCCCAUUAUAAUAAGGAAUGUUUUCAACCUCUCUUCUUCUGGAACAAAGAUUUGCCACCCUUCCAUUAUUGGUGAUGAAGAUAAGCAGAUAUUCAAAAAUUAUGUCAAAGGCUUUACAACAAUAGACAACUUGGCACUUGUAAAUGUAGAGGGGUGAGUCAUGAAUUGCAGUCAUUUUGUGUUUGUCUCCUCAAAGUUGUAGUCUCUAAAGUUGUUCUUUUUGCAGAACCGGAAUGGCUGGUGUUCCAGGUACAGCUAGCGCUAUUUUUGGUGCAGUAAAAGAUGUUGGAGCUAAUGUUAUUAUGAUAUCUCAGGUGCAAUCACUAUCUUUUGUUGUUCUUAUGCCUAAUUUUCCAUAGUUAUAUAUACGAAUCUGCUAUGGUAAUGAACUUUGUAGGCUAGUAGUGAGCAUUCUGUGUGCUUUGCUGUGCCUGAAAAAGAAGUAAAAGCUGUUGCUGAGGCGUUGCAGUCUGUAUUUCAUGGCGCUUUGGAUGCUGACCGUCUUUCUCAGGUGUCAAAUCUAGCUCUGAUACAACCACAUGCCAAUUUCAAUUUGAUUGCAAUCAAAUUCCUCUGUUCAUUACUGACGUGAUAUCAUGAUUCAAGAAGACUUAUCAUAUUUGAGGAUUGUUUAAGGUUAUAAAGCUGAAGAUUGAUAUCAUAUAGCUUUUCCUUAUUUCUAACUUUGUUUGCAUCAUUAAUUAGAUUCAGACUAAGCAAUAUAAAUAUUCUAAAUAUAGGCCACUUAACAUGGUAUGGAAAAAGAAAGCAAACGUCAUGAUUUAUUAAUAAUUGAGACUGAAAAACUGUUGGCUGAAGCAUGGACGAUGAUAUAAUUUCUAUAAUUAAGAACCUAGGAUCUACCCUUAUAUUAUUUAAGAGUUCUGAACGUGAAUUAGGGAUCUAUUUCAUUAAUGUUGAAUUAAUUUCUCACAUAUUGCAAUUUGCAAAAGUUUGGUCAUUUCCGUGGGUAUUGGUUAACAGAUUGCUGGAUAAAGGAUAUAUCUAACGAUGUGUUCGGGGCACCAAACAUCCUCCCCCACCCCGGUGCACAUAAUAAUUACAAUAAACAAUGAUCUCUUUGGCUUCCUAGCUAACUCAGCUCGUGUCCUUUUUAGAUUUUACGUGCUUGUAUAUUUUGUCGAAAUAUAAAACCCAUUAAAUUAAAGCUUGUUAUAUUAUUCCGGUCUAAACUAUGUAGCCACCUCUCAGGUGGCAAUCAUUCCAAAUUGUAGUAUUUUGGCAGCUGUCGGCCAGAAAAUGGCAAGUACUCCUGGAGUUAGUGCCUCCCUUUUCGAUGCAUUGGCUAAGGUCAGGAUUCUGGAAACUAUGGUUUAUGUUAGUAUUAUCAUACUUAUUGUUGUGCUGUUAUAAUUUAUUUGUUUUGCGCUUUAUUUCAGUCAUGUAUUUAUUUGAAUGAGAUGCCUUUUGCGUAGAUGAAUUAGAAAUAACUUUUGAUGGAUGUCAAAACUAAUAAAUUUAAUCUUAUACUUUUUAUAGUGAUUAGGGUCAAAUAUAUAAUGGAUGCCAAAACUAAUAAAUUUAAUUUUUUUUACCAAUCUUAUACGAGUUAUUGUAUAAAUAACACAACUUUUAUGCUAAUUAUUAAUUUACACAAAAUCCUCCUUAUUUAGAGUUUAUCUAAAUGUGCGUGCUGUAGGCAUUAUGCAAACUAAUAAAGAUGCUAACUAUUGUUUAAUCUAUCACAAUAAAAGAUAAACAAUAGAAUCCUACACAACCUUUUUUUCAGAUAUCUCUUUCAGUCUUUCCUAUAUAAAAAAUAAAAAAUAGAGCAAUAAUAUGAACUAAUUAAGAUGAAAUUAUGCAAACUACUUAGAAAAUGUACAUCCAUCAAACUUGAAUGUGACAUUGAAUUAACGAAUGCUUUGCCUUCUACUCUCCUCUUUUCGUUUACAAUACGUUGGUAUAUAUAUAUACAUAUUGAUUUGUGUGUAGUCAAAAUCAAAAUUGUUAUUAAAAUUGAAAACAGGCGAGAGGAUUCUAUAAAGGUUGUUCUGAGUACAACAUUACCGUAGUUGUUAAGCGAGAGGAUUCUAUAAAGGCUUUACGGGCUGUUCAUUCCAGAUUUUUUCUCUCAAGAACCACAAUAGCAAUGGCCAUUAUUGGGCCUGGCUUAAUUGGAAGCACACUGCUUGACCAGCUAUGCGAUCAGGUCAGGUGAACUUUUUGUAGAUAAUUUUGCAUCUUUCUGCAUUUUUUUGGGAUAUAAUAUAGUAACCUACAUGUAUUUAUAAUUAACUAGUCGCUAUAUAUUUUGACUUCUAUUUUUGCGCAAAAUUUAAUUAGUCUUUUUCUUCCGCAACUUUUCACGUGCAGGAUAUCAUGCCCAAGAAUGAAAUUUAAUGAGGACAGUCUCCUACAUGUUUGUUUUGUGUUUUUUGUUUUUUAUAAUAAAGUACUUUGAUAUGUUGUUAAGUAAUUUGGUAUUGUAAAACAUGACCUUAUGCUAGCAUAGUCACUUAAAUAGGACACUUGAAAUGAUGAAGUAACGCUAGUUCUCAUACGUAUAUUCAUCCAACAUGACUGGGGUUUCUUGGUCCAUUUAAGAAUGUCAACACCCUUGAAGGUUUCUUGAGGUUCAUCCCGAAUUUUUGUAAUAUGCAGGCUGCAAAUCUGAAAGAAGAAUUUAACAUUGAUUUGCGUGUAAUGGGCAUCAUGGGUUCAAAGUUAAUGCUCCUUGAAGAUGAUACGUAAGUCAAAUUAUUCAGUUUUUAUUAAUUCAACAUCAAAUAAUUGACAUCAUAUUUGAGACCGUAUACAUAAUAAUUGAUCCCAAAGAAAAACAACUCUACCCAUAAGGAUAUGAUUUAACCCAGAAGCUCAUGAGCAUUCAGUUCCAAUACAAUAUAACAGCAUACUACAAUCAUUUAAUCAACAAUUAAGGCUCAAGCUCUGUGAGUAUCUGAGCAUAAACCAACUUUCACAUGAGCCAUAUCAUAUGUCUAAUUCAGUUUGUUUUUGUUCCUGAAGAAGGAAAUUUCGCUGAUGAUAGAGAUGGCUGUCUAUGCUCUAUUGAUCACAUUGUUUUGGUUCUCAUUCAAUUACGAUGAAUUAUAAUUUCUGAUUUCAGGGGCAUAAAUUAGAUAAAUGGAGAGAACUUCGACAAGAAAAAGGAGAAGUGGCUAAUUUAGAAAAAAUUGUUCAACAUGUGCAUGGAAAUCAUUUCAUACCAAACACUGUGUUAGUGGACUGCACAGCCGACUCCGUCAUUGCAAGCAAUUACGAGGACUGGCUGCGCAAAGGAAUACAUGUGAUCACCCCCAAUAAGAAGGCAAAUUCAGGACCACUUUAUGAGGUAAAUUAAAAUAAAACGAUCCACCUUUUAUGGCAUAGACAGCUUUUUUGUUUUGUAAUGUAACUCGUGUGUGUAUUAUCCACUUUUGCGGCUUUCUCACCUUCACUCUGCAUCCAUGGCCAGUAUUUGAGAUUAAGAGCUCUUCAGAGGCAAUCAUACACACAUUACUUCUAUGAAGCUACUGUUGGGGCUGGUCUUCCAAUUAUCAGCACUUUACGUGGCCUUCUUGAGACUGGUGACAGAAUAUUGCAAAUUGAAGGUAUCUUCAGGUUCGUUUUGAAACUAUUUUUCUGUCUCAUUUUGUGAAUUAGACAACCUCACAUCUCAGAAUUUUGAUUUCUGUUUUUACACUCAGUCUUCCUCAUGAAGUUUUUGCUCCCCGAGGAGAAAAGUAAAAUGAAAGAACAUCUCUUCAUGGAUCACGGAUGUCUUUAGGGCUUUAGGUUUUGUUCAUUUGAUGUUAUGCUUACAACCUAAGGUACUGCCUCUAAUUUUGCAGUGGGACUUUGAGUUACAUCUUUAAUAACUUCAAAGAUGGCCGGGUUUUUAGUGAGGUGGUAGCUGAAGCAAGGGAUGCAGGGUAUACCGAGCCCGAUCCAAGGGAUGACUUGUCUGGAAUUGAUGUUGCUAGAAAGGUACAACGUAUAUCUGCAACAUUGUAUUGUAAUGUCUAUAAAGUAUUAAGUGCCUUCUUGUCUUCUUGUGGUUGAUAUCUCAUGAGUUUCGAUAGAGAUGCUUAGAUUUUGAAUUAUGCGUAGGGAUGUAAUUAAAUUGAACCAAAAUUAUCAUGUGGAUGGUUUUUUUAAGUUUGAUUUGUUCAAAUUAAAUUUUGAGGCUCAAAAUUAUGCAUGAGCUACAUUUCAAAUUUGCUUUACGUAUGUAUUAUGUAAAGUUAUCAUGUAUUUGGUUUGAAGCUCAAUUUUGACUAGUUAAAAUUUUGAGAUUCUGAAAACCAUUGAAAUAUUCAAAACACACAAGUUCAAUAAAACAAAAUAAUAUUUUAAACAAUCUCAAAUGUCUUGCUGAUAAUUGGCUUUAAGUAGAUAACUUUUGGUUCAUGACCUUGAACUAAUAUUAUUUUUAUGCAUGAAAGUUUUUUAUGCUUAAUUAACUCAAUCCUCUUUAAUUUGGUUGUGAUUAUUAAGUGAAAUUAAAAUUCUUGUGGUUCAACAGGUGAUAAUUCUUGCAAGGGAAUCAGGUUUGAAGCUAGAGCUUUCUGAUAUUCCCGUUGAAAAUCUUGUGCCAGAACCAUUAAGAGUAGGAAUCAAUUUCUAUUAAUUAUAAAGUUCUGAGUUUUAUUGUGUACUAUUAUUACACUUAGGAGGAAUAUCUUGAUGAUUUCUUGCAGGGUAGUUCAUCAGCUGAAGAGUUUAUGCAACAACUGCCAAAAUUUGAUGAGGAAUUAACAGAGAUAUUAAAAGAUGCAGAGAGUUCUGGAGAAGUGAGUAACUAGACAUUAUUCUGGAAUCCUGAUUAAACUACUAUAGGAAAAAAAAAAUAGCUACAUUAAUUGCUUCAUCCACAUGAUCUAAUCAAAAUUAUUUAAUAAAAGAGUUAUAAACUCCUUUGUCUUUGAUAAAAAGAAAAUAAGGCCAGCUACAUGUUCAAAACUGUUUAGUUUAAAACUUUUAAUGUUUGAAAGAAAUUCAAAGUGGGAUAAUAUAUUAGGUGUGGCAUUUUGAAAAGUCGGGAGCUUAUAUAUAUUUGGUUUAGUCAUCUUUUAUGACAUGAAAAACAUAAUGAUCGACUUCUGUUGAGUUUGGAGAAUAGAGCAAUUCUUGCAUGAACACGCCUAAUUAGAAACUCAAAAUAGCAUUGUAAAUUUAUAAUAACUUAAAAGAAAUUAAAGGCUUUGUUAUUAUCAUUUCUCAUAAGUCAUAAUGGCAUUUUUUCACUGCAUAGUAGUAGUAUUAGUUUAUGUUUAGGUUUUUGAAGAGCAUGUUAUGUUAUGUUUGAAGGUCUUGAGAUACGUGGGAGUGGUGGACGUGAGUAAUGAAAAAGGAGUGGUAGAACUGAGAAGAUACAAGAAGGAUCAUCCCUUUGCACAAUUAUCUGGAUCAGAUAAUAUUAUUGCGUUCACAACAAGAAGGUAUAGAAACCAGCCUCUGAUAGUUCGUGGACCUGGAGCUGGUGCCCAAGUCACAGCUGGUGGAAUAUUCAACGACAUUUUACGACUUGCCACUUAUCUUGGUGCUCCAUCAUAGAUGCAACCAUGUAUUCUCUCCUUUGCUUAUUCUCUUGUAACUUUUAAUUAAAUAAACCACUAUAAUAAAUAAUUAGAAUUUUAAAUAAGCAUUACAUUUAAAUUAAAGUUAGUUUAACAGAUUUUGCACUGUUUUCAAUUUUAAAAUUAUUCAGAAAUAAUAUCUAUUAUUUUUUAUAUGUGGAAAAAAGAAAGAAUAGUAAUAGUAAUAAUAGUUAAAUAUAUUUUUGUCAGUAAUUCACUUUCUUCCUUAUUAGUGUUUUUAUUCUUAUAUAUUUUUUCUGUUUUAGUUUUAACCCGAUUAUCAGGUAACAUAAUUAGGUUGAACCUAGUAAUUUGUUCCCGUAGAUUCUGGAGCAUAGAUUAUCUAUUCAUGGCAUGUGUAACGGAGCACACAGCAUGUCUUCUGUCACUAAUGCACCUAUCUGGUCAGCGUAGUUUAUAAAGGCUCAACCUCAAAAUACCGUAAUAAUAUGCACUGACGUAGUGACGUGUAGACUCUUCAACGGUCAGACUCAGCUACCACCAUCAACACAAAAUUUUGGUGGGAAAAAAUAGUCUUUCUACACAUGCCACAUAUCAAGGCAGACCCAAAGGAAAAGGAGAAAGAUAGGGACAAUAAUAUCUACUCUUUUUAUUUAAGUAAUGAUACUACCAGCUGGUAUAAUUUUUAUUUAUCUUCUUAUUACAUCAAAUUAUUUAUUAUAUUUUUUUUGAAGAUUGAAACCAAAAUAAGAGGUAAACAAACAAUUAAACAGAUGCUUACUAAAGGUACUAUGCCGAUGCUUGCUACGUACAUGAUUAAUUUUGAAUUGGUUCAUGCUACAGCUUUAAUUAGAUUAGAAUUCCCCAUUUGGUUAAUUGCUGCUGAUUUACGCGGCUUUGGUUUGACAAUGAAUUAGAAACAUAAGAACUUAGAAAUGCUAGCUUUGAUUAAAAAAAAAAAUACAUGGGACAAAUUAACCAAUACUACCUGCUAGGUAUAUAAUACAACUAAAUGCAAUAAAUUUUCUUCUAAUUGAAAAAAUGUUGAGAAAUGUCCUUACAUCUAAUGUAGAAGAAACCUUGUGGGGGACAAAAAAGGAAGGGAAAUACAGUUAACCGUUCCAUUUAAAAUUAAAAGCAAAGGCAUGAAUAACUCAUUGAAAAAUAAUAAAAAAGAAUACACGCAAUCCAGACAAAAAAAAUGACAUGAUUACAGUUCCCCAGAGAAUAAAAUAGAAGAUUCUGAAACCAUGGAGGCAAUGAAUGCAACCGUGAACUGGAUAAGUGCAUUGAUGUGUUAAGCUGGAUAAUUGGUGCCUAAUGCUUUUAAACCAGUGAUUAAGUAAAUUUAAAGGGUGUAUGUUACAUGCGAGAUUACUAAGAGCUAUUUCCAAAAGGAGGAAAACUGCAUUCAAUGCAUGCAUGCAUGCAUACAAAUAACAUUUCUAUAAUACUACUCAUCUAAGGGGCCAACCAACGACUAAAAAGUGAAAACAAUCCUCUAGCUUCAACAAAAUCAAUAAAGGACAACGGAUUUUCUACAAAAGGAGAUUGCGAGAACAUAAGAAAAUAACAUUCAAUAAAUAAAUAAAUUUUAUGAUACAAUUCGGUGAUGUUGUUGCAAGAACAAAUAUAUAUGAAACAAUUACAGUUUUCUAACUCUCACUAUUCGAUUCUCUCUCUCUCUGCUUAACAGCUUAACAACUUUCUCAUCUAGUCUCCCAUGCCGAGAAGCAAUUGGAUGAUGUACUUCUUUAUUAUCAUUUUAUAUUCGUUGACAAUGAAUCAAAGGAGUCUACAAAUCCUGAUGGUUUUGCGGGAAUGCUUGCGUUAUGGUGUAGAUAGAAUAAGAACAAUAAAACGGUAAGAGGAGAUUCACAGAAUUAACGUGGUUCAAUUAAUGUAAACUACAUUCAUAGGCAAUAAAGAAAUUUCUAUUAUUUUUCUUAAAUAACACAUAUAUGAAGUAGAGAGUCUAAAAUAACACACACACACAUAUCGUUCAAAUGAUCAACAAACAUAAAGUCUGGGUUAGGUUGUAUCGUAGCCUUUUUUCCUCCUUCAAAAUAUAAGAUCCAAAAUGUAGUAGGGUUGAGUGAUGAUUUGAGUCAACAGCCUUCAUAUAUCAUGUCAUAACCUUCUUGCCUCUGGGAUGUUUUCCAUGUUAAUUAGUACCCUACCGAACCAUGAAAUCAAUAAACCAAUGGAGACAUUUCUUCAGGCACAGUAUUGUCCAAUACUUUUCUACCGGUAAUCAGUUCCAUCAAGACUACUCCAAAUGCUUACACAUCUACUUUGGUCGUCACUCUUCCAGUAGCUGCCAAGAAACAAUAUCACAUUAAUUAAUUACAAGUAAUGAAGGAAUAGACUAAAACAUAAAGUUAAUGCAACCAAUCGCGUUUGAUGCAACAUGAAUCUAGCUCGGCUAAUUAAAACGUACCUAAAACUGUGUAGUUGUACGAAAAUAUUAAACAAGACAAACAAUACUAUACUACAAACGCAGCGGAGUCCAUCUAAAUUUUAUGACGCAUGCUUUAAUUUAAAAAUGCAUGCACAAAUGUAUGCUAGUGACAUCGUGGAAUUUACAAUUAAUGAAGUGUGUGUUUCAACGAGUGUUAAUAAAAUUAAUUUUAAAAUAAUAUGAUUUAUAUUUAAAUAUUUUUUAAUAUAAAAUCAAGUUAAGAAACUCAUAAUAAAAUUAUAUAUGUAAAAAUUUGUCUAAAAUUAAUUAUAAACCUACCAUCAAUUCUCUAACAUGAAAUCAAAUCCAGAGCAACUUUAUAAUUAAAGAUGUGAUAGACGGUUAGGCCACCGGAGAACCCAACAGUAAACAGUAACAGAGAAGAGAAAUGCUACAUUGCCACCCAAACCUAUCACAAAUACCGUUAGAAUUUUUUUAAAUAUUCCUCACCAUAUUUCAUCUUUAGAUAUAAAAGAAAGUAAUUUCUUUUAUCUUUAUUAUAAGAUUUGAAUUGAAAGUAUGAUUUAAUUCUCAUUAAUAAGAUCUCAUUUAAAAUGUUUUAUGCAUUAAUUACUAAUUUUUCAUAAAAAUAUCUUUAAUUAAAAUCAAUUUUAGAAUAAUGUUACAAUAAUAUAAACAUAACCUGUUAGUUUGUUUGUAAGGAUAAUUUACAAAAAAAUAUUAAUUUAAAAAAUUUAAUACUCUUAACUAAGUUACUGAAUUUCCUUAGAUGCAUCUACUUUUUUUCUUUAAUACUUAGGAGAUUAAUGUAGCAAAACUCAUUCAGUAUGAUAUCCAAGAGUUAAUACGUAAGAAGUGUAUUCAUCACCUUACAUACAUCAUUCAUGAGUUAGUGGUUUGUAUACCAAUAUCUAUCCUCUUUCUCCUCUCUAAUUUUCCUUUGGAAAAAAAAAGGACAAUAGUUUCCUGAACAUCGAAGCCAUCCAUCCAUAACUGCCACACCAUAAUGUACAUGAAACGUUCAACCCAGGAUAUAUAAUACAGGAAAAAAUAAAAUUUACCUAGGAAUAAUAAUAAUGAAACAAGAAAACUAAAUGCAAAAAUAACUGACCAUUUCAAGAAGAAAAAUAUCGUAGUUACUAGUUAAUUCAAACAAUAUAUAGGAAUUGAACAUUAACUAUUGUCCAUCAUCUAAUGGUUAUUUUGUCGCUCCUGUUUUUAUAAGCAAAAUAUGAUAUUAUAGUAGUAUCCUAUAGAUAUUUAAUUUGUAGCAACGACAAUAGAGGAAAUAAAUAAAAACUCAAAAAUUAAGAAAAUCUCCCUCCCCCCGGCCCCGGAAACUCAAGCUGAGCCAAAUUAGUCAAGCUCCCUUGGUAUUGAACCACCCAAAUUGUUAUGGCUGAGAUAAAGUAUAAAAUUUUUAAGGGUUUUGUAUUAAUUAUAAGAAAUCAACCGGAUCUUAAAAUUUAUGAUUCUUAAAAAUAAUAAAUAAACUAAUAAGAUAUAUCUUUCUUUAUAAUGAUACUUCUCUUUGAUGUAUUUUGAUUUCUUAUAAGAAUAGAGAAAUAAAAAAAGGACUUUGUUUUACAUUAACGGAUAUUAACCCCUUUUGUAAUCACUACUCUCAUCUUAACUUAAUUACAAUCUAAUCCAUAAUUAUUAAUUAUUUAUUUAUUAGUCCUUACUUAAAUCACAUGUCUCACACCUUUCUUGAUAAAAGACUUAAGUUCAAUUCUACUUACAUAAAUAAUGUGUUUGUUUUUACCUUAAAGAUAAUUAAUUUUAACUAAAUUAAUUUAACAAAAGUACAUAUCAGAUAUAGAAUUUAAAUUUGAUUCUCACAAAAUAUUUUCUUAAAAAGUAAUAAGGAAAAACUUUAAAUUUCACUUAAGUUUUAAAUUAAAAAUUAGUUUUAUAAUAGGUAGAAAGAUAACAAAACUUAUGAAAAUUAGUUCUACCAGUUUUUAAAAGUGAAUUGUGAACCCCAACUAUCUUAAAAAGAAAAAAGAAACUAAUCUUUAAAAAUACUGACAUUCAUCAACUUCUUCCAAUAUAUAUGUUACGUAUCGGAUGCACGUGCAAUCGUAGUCCAAUUAUUAAUAUUUUGCUAAAGUAGCCUUCAAUUAGUUUGAUAAGGUAUUUAACUUAUAGUGUUCACGUUCUUGUUAACCCAGAUACACUUUAUCUCCAAAAACUGGCGACAAUUUAAUUCCAGUAAUUAAUGAGUAUUCUCUUUCAUGUAAUCACCAACUGCCAGUUAUUUUCAGCUAACGGACUUGCUUUAAUUUUGACGACAGCUCAAAAUCACAAAUUUGUAUUAUAUAUGGAAUAAUUUUAAAUUCUCUUACGUUAUUUUUUAAAUCUUUUUCUUAAAUGUGUGCAUGUUUGUUUCAAUGUUACAGUCUCCCUUCCAUCAUCACAAUUUUUUUUUUUUUUGAAAAUGAUAGGCUUUAUAUCCCCCUCAUAUAGAUUUAGAUUAUGAGGGAUUGGGUCUUGCAUGGGUUCAAUUUUAUGUCCCCCCACACGGCUUCAAUAUGGUGUCAACAUAGUUGCAAUAAAACCAUCUAAUUUGAUGCUCCUAUAGUCUCUCUCUUCUAAUAAAAAUGUUACAACCUUCACUCAAUGAAUUUUCGUGCUUUCUAUGCACAAAACGUGAGGGAAAAAAUCGAAAUUUUUUUGUUGAACGGAAAACUAACGCUCUAAGAAAUUGUCUAAACACUUACUCAAUUAAGAAACCCACAAAAAAAAAUAAUUGCAUAAAGAUUUUAUACAUUAAAUCUAACAAAUUGUGUAUAAAAUAGUAAAUGAAAAACCUAUAGCUAUUAAGUUAAAUAGCAUAAUGGGUAUCCCUUAACAUUUUUCUUUAUGUUAACUUGUGUCAGUCAUGUAUGCACAACAUUUUUGCGCGUAAGUCAUAACUAUCACUAUAGAAUAGAGAAGACAUAGUCAAAUAAGACAAACUGAGCUUCCACCACCGUUUCCGUGGUCAGCAGUGUUAAAAAAAUUGGUUGGGUUAUUGAUUCUAUCAAGAUAGUAAGGUAGUGGUUCAACCAAUAGAUUAAUAUUGGUCCCGUUUGAUUAGUAUAUAUUAAAAAUUUAAAAUUAUACAUAUAUAUAUAUAUAUAUAUAUAUAUAUUUUAUAUAUAAAUACAUAACUAAUAUUAUAAUAUUAUUUGAUUAAGAUUCAUAUUUCAAAAAUUUAAAAUAAUUAUUGACAAUAAUGAGAUAUAAAAUCGGUGUCUAAAGGUAAUCAAUUUGUAUUUGUAUAUUUCUAAAAAUUGAGAGAGUUUGGAGGAUUUUGACAAGGGUGGUGGUGAGUAUGGAGGCUGGCAUGAUGUGUGUAGAAUUAGAUUGUGAAAUGAGGGGCAUGGCAUGCGUAAUGAUGGAGCCCACCGCAUGUGCUUUGUCACCAAACUCACCAGCUUAAAAUACCGUAAUAUGCGCAAACGUGUAGGCUCCUCAACUGAAAUUAAGGUUAGCUGCCACCAUCAACACCAAAUUUUGGUGGCUCUGCUCUGCACCUCCAAAUUUCUUUUAUUUAUUUUCCAUUCACCUCAAUCACUCUAUUAUGCCACAGAAGCCGGACCAAAAUAACUUUGAAUUAUUCAUUGGACGUUGUUGUUGAUUUACGCGGCAUUGGUCAAAAAGCAUGGGACAAAACAACCAGUUGCAAUAAAUUUUCUUAUUCAAUAAAUGUUGAAAAAUAUCAUACAAUUAACAUUUCUAUAAUACUUCUCAUCCAAGAACCCAACCAUCAACUAAAACCAAUCCGUUAGCUUUGAAAAAACUAGAUAAAGGACAUCAGACUUGUACAAAUAGAGAUCGCAAGAACAUAAAAGAAUCAUCAUUUAAAAAAUUAAAUAAAAAUUGUGAUACAAUUAGGUGAUGUUGCGAGAUCAAAACAGCUUACUUAAUAACAACAUUCUCAUCUGGUCCUUCCAACUGAGAAGACAUUGGAUGUUGUCCUGUUUACAAUUAUAAUUUUCGUCAGCGGCAAUCCAUUGAAUCAAAGGAGUCUGCAAAUCCUGAAGGUUUAGCGGGAAUACUUGAUUGAGUUUGUGAGAUGGACAUGUCAAACAUUGUGGAAGUGCCUUCAUUGGCUUGCCAUCUUCGCAGAGCUUGAGGAAGGCUCAUGUGAAGGUCAAUGCCAUAACCUUCUUCUUCUUCAUGGGUGGUGGGCUUCCAUUGCUCUACCAGAGGACCCAAGACAUUCACAGCAUGCCCCAUAUCAGGCCUUUGGUAUGGUUCACGAGCAGUGCAAUGGCCUGCUAGCUCAGCCACUUUAUAUAUACUCUCCAUGGUUUCCUCAUCGGGAUCGAGAGUUUGAUCAAUUGCCUUUGGGAUGUUCUCUUUGUUAAUCAGUACCCUACGGAACCAGGAAACCAAGUGAGACCUUUCAUCAGGCACAGUAUCGUCCAAUGCCCUUCUACCCGUAAUCAGUUCCAUCAAAACUACUCCAAAUGCGUACACAUCUACUUUGGUCGUCACUCUUCCCGUAGCUGCCAAGAAACAAUAUCACAUUAAUUAAUUACAAGUAAAGGAAUUGGCUAGCAUAAACUUAACGCAACUAAUUGUGUUUAAUGCAACAAAAGCUAGCUCUAGCUAACUGUAAUUUUACGAUUCUUCGUACUACAGAUGCAGUGGAGACGAAGAAAAUAAUUGGACAUGCUUUUAAAAAUGAACAAAUGUUUGUUAGUGAAAAUGUGGAAUUAUCAUAUGACUAUUAACGACAUGUCUGGGCAUCAGGGAACCCUACAGUAAACUGAACAGUACCAACAGAGAAGAGAGCAGCUACGGACGGUGCUACCCAAACCUAUGACAAAAUACAGUAAGAAUAACUCUAAAUAUUCUUAACCAAUCCUUCUAAUUGCUAAAUAAAAUACUUUUGAUCUUCCCAUGACACAAAAUGCAUCAACUUUUAUGUUUAAUACUUUAUUAAGUAUCCGGAGGAGAACGUAGCAAAACGCCUUCAGUAAUCCAAGAUUUAAUCUAAUCAGAGUAUUCAUCACAUAAAAAGAUGUAAUUGGGAGCCAGCCACUUAAUUGAAGCCAUCUAUCUAUAAAUGGCACAACAUAUAAUGUGCCCUGAAACCGUUCAUCCAGGAUAUCCAUAUGAAAACAUAAAACUUAGCUAGAAAACAAAUCAUAAAACAAGAAAACAAAAAAUGCAAAUAACUGACCAUUAUGAGGAGAAAAACAUCAGUUGUUAUUAGUUCAAAAAAUAUAAUGAUUUGAAGUAGUAACCUAUAGACAGUUAUAACCAGAAAAGGAAAUAAAUAAGAACUUAAAAAAAAAAAAAAUCAAUACAAGCUUAUUAUAUUCAAAGGCUUUCCAUAUAUACCUGCAUAUUCAGGUGCAAGAUAUCCAAAUGUUCCAGCCAAGCGUGUCUCAACAGAAUACUUCCCAUCUGGCGCAUUUUUAACCAAACCAAAAUCUGCAACCUUGGCUCUCAUGUCAUCACCCAACAAUAUGUUUGAGGGCUUUAAGUCCCUGUGAAUGAAGCUUUGCUGAGCCAAGCUGUGCAAGUAUUCCACUCCCCGAGCUACAUCCAAAGCUAUUGCUACUCUUUGUUUCCAAGUCAAAGGAGCACAGCCAUUUUCACCCCAAUCAAACAGGUGUUGCGUUAAUGUCCCUUGAGGCAUAUACUCGUACACCAAGAGCCUUUCGUUGCCGUUAAUGCAAUACCCUAAAAGGGCCACCAAAUGCCUGUGCCGAACUUUACUAAGAACUGCAAUCUCUGCUUGGAACUCAUUCAAUCCCUUACUCCCUGUUGCAACAGAUUCCAUUCUCUUUACAGCAAUUUGAGUUCCAUCAUGCAAUUCCCCUUUAUAAACAACCCCAAACCCUCCCCUACCCAAAAUGUUCUUCUCACUGAAAUUAUCCGUUACUUGCCGAAGAACCUGGAUUGAAAUAGUAGCAUUCCCACCCUCAAAAACAUGAACGUCACUACGCUCACUGCCCUGGCUUUGCAACUCACUGGGAACACCACCAUAUCCAUUGGAAUUGGUAACGCUCAUCAUAUCAAUCUUAACCUCUCCUUUCCCAUUUUCCGGAUUAUUAACCCUUCCAAACUUCCCAUGCCGGUUUUUAGCAUGACACUUGCAAAACACAAACACCACGACGGCAACAAAAAACACAGCAAUUAGAACAAUACCUGCGAUCCAAGCAGGCGAAAGUGAAGAUCCACCUGGCCCUGUGCUCGGGCUUCCACUCGGUGCAUCACCGGAACCCUUCGACGGAGUAGUUCCACUGCCACCACCACCACCAUCAGAACGCCCAAGUAAAUCAUUACCUGCAGUAGUGAACUUCACCUUGGUAGGGAACUUGGGAACAUCACCAGAUAAGUUGUUAUUAGACACAUUAAGAACCUCAAGCUGAGCCAGAUUAGUCAAGCUCCCUGGUAUUGAACCACCCAAAUUGUUAUCAUUGAGAAACAAGUUCCUCAAAUCAGUUAAAUUAGCAAACGCAGGUGAAAUGGUUCCCGUCAAAUUCUGCUUUGCCAAAUUCACCGUAAUAAUCUUCCCCCCUGCACACACAACAAAACUCCAAUCAUCACAAGGAUCGUUCCCAGUCCAGGAACGCGCCAACUGAAGGGGAUACCCGAAACCCGCAGCAAUAUCAAGCAAAGUGGAGAUACGAGAAUCGCAGGGUCCAACAUCUUUCAGACAAAAACUAUUGAUCCCAUCGAGAGUGAACUUCACACCUUUCUCAAACGAAGGAACAGGACCCUGAAGGGCAUUGUUGUCCAGAGAAACGUUCUGCAAGCUAGAAAGGGACAUGAGAGAAGGUGGAACCACACCGGUUAACUGGUUGUCUCUCAGCUGCAGGUCAAACAAAGUGGUGCAAUUUGACAAAUCCGGAAUGGGACCCGUGAACUGGUUCUUCUGAAGCCACACCUGAGACAAGUGGGUCAUGGAAGCAAGCACCUCAAUGGAACCCGAAAAUCCGAAGCCGUUCUGAUUGUUGAGCCACAGAUUCUGAAUCUCAGAUCCCCCAAAGGACUUGGGUAAACCCCCAGUGAGGUUGUUGUAAGAGAGACGAAGCUCCUGCAAACUCACAAACUUGUCGAAUACAUCAGGCAAGGUACCGAUGAGGUUUGCGUUUCCGAGGUCGAGUUUCACGAGGUUGUUGCUAUCCGUCAACUCGGUGGGAAUCGUCCAUGGGGCAAGGUUGACGCUAUCGGCCAUGCUGAGGGUUUGCAAACUGGUGAGCCCCUGGAAGCAACCAUCGGGGAUGGAGGUGAAGUUAUUGCCGUCAAGGAAAACGCUUUCGAGCAUGGAGAGGUUGGCGAGUGAAGGCAAUGCGCCGGAGAGCUUGUUGUUC
Molecule: long non-coding RNA, 77723 nt
Filed under: Glycine max (soybean)
Lineage: Eukaryota; Viridiplantae; Streptophyta; Magnoliopsida; Fabales; Fabaceae
Description: long non-coding RNA (GMAX_LNC004007)
Source: RNAcentral